UUUUUGUUUUGUUUUUUGAGAGAACAAUUUCGCUAGCUGUUCACACUCCAAAUUUAUGAAGAUUAAUUAAUUGUUUUGACUUUUAGAUAACUUUUAGAUAUUUGAAGAAAAAUUAAGAAUUUCGAAAAACCUGAAACCUUAGAGGAUCGUGUCAAAAGAGAAAAGAUUUGUAAAUAAUAUCAUUAUUAUAAAUUAAAUAAUAGCUAAUCGUAAGGUGAUUAUAUUUAUUUACAAAUUUGUAAAUUAAAUUAUUUGUGACAUAAUACAAGUUUUUUUUUUUUAAGUGUUUAUUUUUUUAAAUACCGAUUAUAUGAUUUAGUGCAAUUCAAUAAAAAUAAAAAUAAUUUUUUAAGAUCGAGUUAUAUGAACGAGUCAUUCAGUUCAAUCUGAUUCAGUCAUGUGGUUCGACCAAUCAUAUGUUUCAUAAUGCAAAUUAUGUUCAUAGAUCAAUCAUGUGUUUAGAGAGUCUAGGUUGGUUCUGAUCUAGGCGUCGGUUAUGUCAAUCUAGAUUAUCUUUUGUUUUGGAUUUUUGGUAUGAUUGGAGAUUUACACGUAUGUUGGAAAUUUUGAGAUACAUCUAUGUUGAUGUAAUAAUUGAUUCAUGACAUGUAUAUUUGGAUUACUUUGGUUUAUAUUUCGCUGCGACUGUUGAAGUUUAUAUACAUGUUUAUGGUUUUGAAUUUUUGUAUGAUGACGUAGCCUCUAUUUCUUGAAUAAAUGUAUUAUUCGCAUGUUUAAUUGCUUUAAUAGAAAUAGAAGUGUUACAGGAUACGUCAGAAUGCUUCUUGGAGCGGAUGGGGGGGUGUACCGGUAGGCACUCCGACGCUAAAGUCAGUAGAGAUCAGAGAGUGAGGGUUUGAGAGGAAGAAAGAUUCUACCUUGGUGACUGCAUUGAGUCUCCUAUUUAUAGAGGUGGAGGGCUGCAUUGAGUCUCCUAAUAAUCAUCAUAUAUAAAUAGAAGCAUCAAUAAAAUAUAUCUAAAAGGGAGAACAAUAAACUUAUCUGUGGUGAUUUGAUGUCGGCAAAAUUGAAGUAAACAAACACGAAACCAUGAAAGUGAUAACCUGCCAAAAAGUAAACCAUUACAUAAACCUGAGGCGUGACAUAGUCACUGUCCUUGAGGAUUUUAUCCGCCUCAUAAGCGCAUAUCCUCCCAGGAUACAACAGUUCUUCCCCGUUAUGAAUCAUAACCGGAGGUGACAGAACAACUCAAAUUUAUCUCAAAGAUAUCAUGAGAUGUAACCCAGAAACCUCAAUAUUUUGGAUGAGAGAAAAUGAUUGUGGGUACAGAAAAACAUGAAGUGAGAGUAUGUAUCUGUAGUUAUUUUUCUCUGUACUGGCAAUUGCUAUGUAUUUAGUAGUUAAGUGUAUCUUGUUUGGAGAAAUAAAAGAAGAAUAUAUACAUGAGAUUUGUGGUGAGUUGUUCCUUAUAUUAAGGGAAAUGAGGCAUAACACUAGGGAAUGAGUUUUUAGCAUUUGACCCAACGGUUAUAAAAAAUAAAUGUGACAAAUAAGGCUUUGACUAAGUAAAUAUCACAUGGUUAAAUCAACAACAAACAAUAAACAACUUUUAAUAACUUUUGAAAUAUAAUAUCAACUCAAAAAUACAACAGUCAAUAGCGGCGCUAUAGCGGCCGCGCGCGUAGCGGUGACGAACGGCGGCGCUAAUUGUUGUAGCGGUGCGGAUUGAGACAGCCGCUUCAGCUGCUAUAGCGGCAUAGUUAUUAAAUAUAUUUUUAUUUUUAUUUUUUUAGAAAUAUAUAAGUUUGUUUAUACUUUAUUAUUCAUGUAAUUUGUUCAAAAUGAAAUUGUAUAUGUUGAAAAUUCUGUCUUAUCAUUGUCUGGAUUUGUUUCUAAGUAAUGUGUUGAUUUUGCAGCGCAAGUUGUUAAAGGUUUGGGUGAUGGUGUGAAAACAAUUAAAAAAGGUGAAAAGGCCCUUUUCACCAUUCCAACUGAGUUAGCUUACGGUGAAUCUGGUUAUCCUCCAAAACAUAUAUAUUACUCCUAAUGCAACUCUGCAAUAUGAUGUUGAGCUACUUUCUUGGAUUAGUGUGGAGGAUAUUUGUAAGGAUGGAGGUUUGUUUAAAAUGAUACUUAAGAAGGGGGGAAAUGGGAAAACUCCAAGGAUCUUGACGAAGUUUUAGGUAAACAUAUUACGAGUAUAUUCCAUUUUUCAUUGAGGGACUCUAUUAUUUGACUGUGAUAACUAUAAAAUACCCUUCUGUUGUUGCAGUGAAUUAUGAAGCGCAUCUUGUUGAUGAACACUAGUAGCAAAAUCUGAUAAAGUGGAGUUCACAGUGAAGGAGGGUUAGUGCGAACAAAUUUUAUCAUGGUUUCUGUCUCUCAUUUUCAAUUUUUCUGAUAUGUGAUGUCUAAUAUAAUGUUCACCAUGAGACAGGUCAUUUUUGUUGUGCAUUGUCAAUGGCUGUUGAAACUAUGAAGAAGGGAGAGGAAGUGUCAUUGACUGUGAAGCCUCUAUGUAAGUUCUUUACACAACACUAUGGGAAAUGUUUAUAUAACACGUUUCUCUAUGCUAUGAAGGUUUUCACCGUUGAUAUAUUAACUCUUUUUUUUAUUGUGUAAUAGAUGGAUUCGGUGAGACCGGCAAGCCAGCUGAUGGUGAUAAAAGUGCAGUACCAACUAAUGCAAUAUUAGAGAUAAAACUUGAGUUAAUUUCUUGGAAGACCGUUAUUGAAGUAACUGAGGACAAGAUGGUUCUCAAAAAGAUUAUGAAGGAAGGUGAAGGAUACAAACGUCCAAAAGAUGGAGCUGAUGCAAAAUGUAAAUUACCAUUGAUAAUGGCUCUUUUCUUUUGCGUGUAUUGUAAUGUAUUUAGUAGAUAGAUUUCUGAUGAUUUUCUUCAUUUUGCAUAUUUGCAGGGAAAUUGACUUGUAAGCUUAAAGAUGGCACUGUGUUUUUUCGCAAGGGCCAUGGCGGAGAUGAAGCAGAGCUGUUUGAAUUCACAACAGACGAAGGUGAGGGUGAUUAUCUUAAAUUGUUGCAUUGGUUCACUCUCUCCUAUUAAUUUGUUUUUAUACUAACCAACGAAAGUGAAUGUCUGUUGUGUUGAGCAGCGCAAGUGACUAGAGGGCUUGAUAGAGCUGUAAUGAGUAUGAAGAAGGGUGAGGUAGCAUCGUUGACUAUUGCACCUAAGUAUGGUUUUGGUUCAUCCGAGUCUCGACAGGAAUUGGCAGUGGUUCCUGCAAAUUCAACCUUACAUUAUGAGGUUGAGUUAGUAUCAUUCGUAAAGAGGAUGGAGGACGAAAAAAGAUCCAAGUUUCGUAAGACUCUUCGUGAUGCAGUGAGAGAGUGGUCUCAGACCAAACCUAAGAGUGAAAAGAACAAAGAUUUCUACCACAUCAAUACACACAAAGUGAAGCUAUCAUUUCCAGGAAAAGAAUGUUUUCCCAUUGUCAUUGGAAAGUACAAAUGGUAUGGAAAGAAUUUUUAGUUAAAGUGUUUGGAUAGUAAAGUGAAACUGAAAAAUUAUUAUUUCUAAUGUGUAAUUUCAAUUGAUAUUUCUAUUACAGGCAAUUAGAAGCUAUGCGGUUGGAGGGCAAGGAUCCCAUGGAUCUUGAAUUUUCCAUAUAUACUAUAGGGGGAAAUAUCGAUAAUCUAUAUCAAGUAGACGGCGUCGAUUCAUUUUUGGUGUCUAUUGCAACUCUUCACCCUCGCUAUAGUCAUAUGCAUCAUUUUAACGGUAGGUUUUUAAAUUAUAAUUUUAAAUUAAAAAAAUAAAAUUCCUAAUAGUAUUUUAUUUGAAUCGGUGCAGACGAUAUCAAAUACUGCGGUGGGGUGGGUGUCCAUUUUUUUGAAUUGAUACAUAAAAAUGCAUAUUCAAGUGGGGAUAAGAGUUUUGAGGACAGUGAAGGUUUUGUCAGUUUUGAAAUUCAGGUCCAAGCAAUCAGGUAUUUCAACAUUUCAUAAUGGUUUCUCUAUUCCUUGUAUUGUUUAUGUUGUUUUUUUAUGACUUACGUAUAUUGUUUUUGAUCAACAGCUCGGAGGUUUACCCCCCUUUCCUUUCAUUGACUUACAAAAUGGAAAUGUUUGAGGCAUACAGAGAAUUUGUGCUUGCACAAUGUUCUAAAUUUAUGAAGGAAACACAGACAGAGUUCAAGAAAGUGAUCAACAAUAGUUCUCGCUGGUCAAGGUAUUUAUUAUAUAUUUUCCAUAACCAUUUGUCGAACCUGAACCAGGCACUGAUAUAUUUAUGAUUUUUUGUGCAGUUUAUGUGAUCUUUUGAAGGAUGAAAAUUACAUAGCUUUAGAAUUCCAAAGCUUUUCAGUAAAAGCUGAUGUAAUUAACAAGAGGUUGGUGGAAACUUUUUAUCGAGACGAUAAAGGCGAAGAAUAAAAAAAAAAAUAAAAAAAAAAGAUGGUGGCUUGAUAGCUUCUUUGAUUUUAGAUAUGAUUUACCAGGGAUAUGAAUUAACCUGCAAAAAGAAGAUGAAGAAUUGCGAAUGUGUCAUGUAUGAUAGUGAUGGUGGGUUUCAGCCGAAAAAGAAUUUUUCGGCUAUAUUUCUUAAAGCUGCCUGUUUGAAGUAUGAUUCUGCUCCGGUUGGAAAAGCCGAUUCAAAUAGCCUAGAGCUCGAUUUUAAGCCUUAGGAAAAAAUUGGGUUUGUUAUGUUGCAACUAUUUGUCACCGCAUAUUUCUUUAGGUAAAAUAUAUUUUUGCUUUUACUCCUUUAUUUUAUUUUGUGAAAAAUAUAUAUGAUUUACUUAAUCUGGGUUUUUCUUGAUUUUUGGUAUCCUGUAGAUUGUGCGAGUUACUCUUGGAUGGUUACGUGAAAAACACACUUAAGAAAAAGAAGGCCAGAUUUAAAGGUACUAGCAAGAGUAAAGGGGAUAAAAGAAUGCAGUCCCAAAUAAGUGUGCCUCUAGAAGAGGGGGAACACAGUGUAGAGACACAUGGAUCGAAAAUGGUAAUGGAAGAUGAGGAGGCAACAAUUAUAAUGGUAGAUGAGGUAGUGACUGUGUGAAAGAAGACAGGGAACACAAUGUAAAGACACAUGGGCCGAAAACUGUAAUGGAAGAUGAGGAGGCAGCGAUUAUAGUGGAAGAUGAGGCAGUGACUAUAGUGAAAGAAGAGCUGGAUAAUACAUUUGUAGAUGUUUUUGAAUCGGUCAGCAAGAGAGUUGUUGAUGCUCUCAAUGAGACUUAUGAAUCACACGCACAACUUGUCAAUGAUUUUGAUGCAAAGAUUGAAGCUCUUCUUGGUGAAUGUGAUGGUACCAUAUCUGUUGACACAAAAACGAUUUGAUAUCUACAACAAAACUGUAAGGAAUGUAGAUGAUUUAUAUGAAAAACAUUUGUAUGAAAAGCACAUAAAUCUUGAUUUCAAUUUAGAUGUCUGGGCAGAUGUCAGUAGAGUAAGUUGAAUGCAUUUUUUUUUUUGUUGAUUAUUUUUUAAAUUUGAUCUAGUAUCCUUUUUGCUUUCUUGUCAUUGCAGUUGUUUAAGAAGAGGUAUAAGAAAUCAGACGAGCAAGCCAAAAAAAUUGGCAAAAUAGGAGAGAAGUUGGCUAACGCAUACUUAACCGAAAUGUAUAAUGACGAAGUGAAUGGUGUUGAAAUCCGCUGACUUAAUGAAAUGACUGAGUCAAACACAGCAUGCAAUCUUGCCCUUUUCAAAGGUAAAGUGUUACUUUAUUACUUUGAGGUGAAAGUCACUGGUAUACCGGAGAAAUUCUUUUUCUUAAUGACACCUAAUUAGAUACAUUUGGCCGCAAAAAGUGUUGAUUUGUAUAGUGUAGUGUUAAUUAAGGUGAAUACUGAUUUUAAGUGCGGAUGUAUACGAAAUAGAAAAUCCAUUGUCAAAAGAGAGCGAAUUGCAAACAAUUUUAAGGACCAAGAAAGAAGCGAAGGAUCUACCUUUAGUCACGAUGACAGUCGCCGAAGUUAAGGACAUAUUGAAACAAGCUGCGUUUAUCAAGGGGAGGUGAGAAAAUGUAGGUGUGUGGGGGUUUUAUGGGUUAUUUUGUAUCGAAAAGUAUUAUGUGAAAGUAUUAUAACUCAAAAUCCCCACACACCCUAAAUUUUCUCACCUCCCCUUGAUAAACGCAGAUUCCUGGGGUUUCAAUAUCUCUUUAACUUCGGCGACUGUCAUCGUGAUUAAAGGUAGAUCCUUCGCUCCCUUCUUGGUCCUUAAAAUUGCUUGCAAUUCGCUCUCCUACGACAAUGGAUUUUCUAUUUCGUAUACAUCCGCACUUAAAUGAGUAUUCACCUUAAUGAAUACUACACCAUACAAAUCACCACUUUUUGCGGCCAAAUGUUUCUCAUUAGGUGUCAUUGAGAAAAAAAAAUCCCCACACACCCUAAAUUUUCUCACCUCAAAGGGCAAGAUCGUAUGUUGCGUUUGUCUCAGUCACUUCAUUAAGCCAGUGGAUCUCAACACUCUUCGUCAUUAUACUUUUCGGUUAAGUAUGCGUUAGCCAAGUUCUCAUAUUUUUCCAAUUUUUUUGGCUUGCUCGUCUGAUUUCGUAUACCUCUCUUAAACGACUUCAAUGACAAGAAAGCAAAAAGGAUAUUAGAUCAAAUAUAAUCAACAGAAGAAAAAAAAAACGCAUUCAACUUACUCUAUUGACAUCUGCCCAGACAUCCAAAUUGAAAUCAGGAUUUAUGUGCUUUUCAUAUAAAUUAGCUACAUUCCUUGCAGCUUUGUUGUAGAUAUCAAUUCAUUUUUGUGUCAACAGAUAUGAUACCAUCGCAUUCACCAAGAAGAGCUUCAAACUUUGCAUCAAAAUCAUUGACAAGUUGUGUGUGUGAUUCAUAAGUCUCAUUGAGAGCACCAACAACUCUCUUGCUAACUGAGUCAGAAACAUCUACAAAUGUAUUAUCCAUCUAUUCUUUCACUACAGUCACUGCCUCAUCUUCCACUAUAAUCGUUGCCUCCUUAUCUUCUAUUACAGUUUUCGGCCCAUGUGUCUCUACAUUGUGUUCCCCCUCUUCUAGAGUCACACUUUUUUGUGACUGCAUUCUUUUAUCCCCUUUACUCUUGCCACUGCCUUUAGAACUGACAUUCUUUUUCUUAGGUGUGUUUUUCACGUAACCAUCUAAGAGUAUAUCACACAAUCUACAGGAUACCAAAAAUCAAGAAAAACCCAGAUUAAGUAAAUCAUAUAUAUUUUGUCUAAUUGGCCUUCAUUCUUUUUCAUCAUUCAAUUAUUGUAGGAUUUUGUGUUUACUCUUCAAACUUUCAAUUAUUCCCUCUAUUGUUCCAACACAAUCAAAUUUUGCAGUUUCGAUGUAUAAUCUAUUCUUCUAUCUGAAAAGACUCAUUCAUGCCUAUAAUUCCAGAAAUAUUAACUUAACCAAGUUGACAGAUAGUCAUGAAGUAUAUAACACAUCAAACAUGCAAAACAAGUUACCAAAAUUGAUCAAGAUAAGUAACUCAGUGUUAUGUUCAUGUGAAAAGUUUAUAGAUUCAUAUAGAGAGGAAAGGAAUUGAGAUGUAGCCAUAGAACUGAAAUCAGCACAAUAUAGGAAGAGCAAAGCAAACUCAUCGGUCAAAGAUACGAAUUUACAUCAAUGAAGGUAGAAAAUACUUGUUCAAAAGACAGCUUGAAAACAUUACAAGGCAGUAAUCCCCGUAGACAUGAAGGUCAUGCAGUUUUUGUAGAAAAAAUCAACUUAAAGGGAUCAUUGCAUCAUGGUGAGAUGAGUUAUAUCCAAAAAUGUUAUGGUGAAAUGGAAAUCAGCAGAAGGUCCUUGCUUGGAAGAAGCGAAAUGCGAAUCACAUUAACUAGUUAUCAAUCAUUGGAAGAUAAUAAAGAACUACAAAUAAGUAAAGCCAAUAAUAAAGAACAAACUAAGAGUUACUAUCUCUACGAUACCGUUCAUCAUUUUCCGUAGUGUAUAUCAAAAGAAAGGUGUCAUCAUGCAUUUAAGAGGUAACAUCAAACUUCAAAGAAAAAACAUGUCUAUGAGUUUAUGGCAGCGUCAGCAACAUUAAAAUUCUAACAUAAAGCUAAAAAAAAAUUCUCCAUUUGGCAACAAUUCUAGCAUGGUCUUGAAAUCAAUAUUCUCAUCAAUCUUCACCGAGCUUAUGACUUUCACAUUCUUCAAGCCAUGCCACCAACACUUAGUAUCACUAGAACUGCACAAGCAGUCAUCCCCUUUUCUUUCCAUUAGCGUCUCAUAUAAAAGCUGCAGAUUGAGAUGAUUAACAAAUAGAGUUAGAAGCUCCAUAAAAUAAUUAUAAAAAGGAAUUAUAUCAGAUGAUAAAAAGCAAAAUCUUUUAAGAAUAAAUGCUUGUCUGACGUAAAAGGAAUUGGAUCUAACCCAAAUUGAGGAUAACAAUUGUAUUAUAAAAAUCUUCUUAAAUUGCCAAAUUUCAGUAGGCACGAUGUGAUAUGUCUCAGAAAUUAUUGUUCCACUAUGUAUUUUAGGAUAUAGUAAAGGCUGAUUAGAGUAGUUUAAGUUGUUAAGAGUUGUUAGAGAAGUCUGUUAAUUAGUCACCAUUUAGCCCUAAAGUAGUAGAGUACUUUUGUACCGGAGACGAAUAUGGCGAUUGAUAUGUUGCGAAUAGAUAUUUAUCUAGUGAGAAAGGAGAGUGCUCCUUUGGGGUGGCCUUGUGUGCUAACUGCAAGGUUACCUUCUUGUUCAUUCCUAUUAUUAUUACAUUAAGUUGAUAGUACCAUGUCGAUAUUUAAAGAAAUCUUCUUUUUCUCAAUUAUGUUGAUCAAUAUUUAUUGAGAAAUGAUAUUUGUACAACCACUUUGUGACAACUUUCUUUCUCAUACUCACAUUUUAUUAUUACUCUCUCUUCCUUUUUCUCUCUCCAUUGUUUUUGACCAAUGAAAAGAGAGAAAAGGAAGGUUGUCAAAUAGGUUGUAACAAAUGGUUGUUCAAAUAUCAUUGCUCAUAUUUAUUCUAGUUAAAAUCAAUCUUUUGUUUACUCAAUUUUGUACUGUUUUUAGGAUAAAUGAAAACAGAAAACAUAAAAGCAAAACAUAGAUGACAUAAAAGGAACAUGGGAGAGAAUGACAUACCUCAAUGAACGAUCUACUGCAAGAAGGAUGUGGGCUCAAAGAUAUAAAUGCAGGGCAGCAACUUGAAAGUAAGAUAUUUACAAUAGAUAAAAACAAAGUUUCAUUUUCUGGAACAUAGCGAAGGUACAAAUGUUUGAUACUUGAAAUAGCACCGGGUGUUGUACAUCCUAUGUAAUCCAGACACAAAUACAAUAAGAAGUUAUGAAGAUUGAACCAACGAAUUAAGUAGCUAACUAAUACUCACCACAGAUGGUUUACAAAGAUGAUGAUAAUCAAUGAAAAAAUUCAUAUCAACUUUUAGUUGACUAGAACUUCUUAGAUAAGAUAUAAUAGGCUCUGAACUACCAUCACCACGAUUAAAAAAAAAAAUGAUAAUAGAUUUGGAGCAUCAAUGUUGACCUCCUUCAAGUUAGAACAAUGAGAUAACUCCAACACCUUAAGUUGAACACUUGAAAUAUUAAUCUUGUCGGCCAUUGUACAAUAACCCAAUUUCAACUCUCUAGGAAAUGAAAUUUUGGAAACAGUUCAAGAAACCAUUUUUUUUGGAAAUAUUUCAAAUUUUGGCAUCUAUCAAAAUCAAUCUUAUAUGGUGAAAAAAAAUCAUCCGGACAAUAACAAAGUUUCUCAAGAUACGGGGCAUCAAUAUAUACCUCCUGGAUUCCUUCAACAUCAACUGUCUUGAGCUUAAGUAGACCAUGCAUGCUCAAAGACUUCAUGUCGACAAACUUCAAAGUUAUAUGUUCAAUCAACGGACAACAAGAAAUAAAAUGUUCAAUUACAUGUUCGUCUUUCGAAACGACAUCCCACAAUGACAGUACUCUUAAUGAGAAAAUACCCUACAAUCUUUAUAUGAUUUCUGCUCUUUCCUGUGCACUUUUCACUUGCACCCUACCGUCUUGCCGAAAAUACCCUGCGUUAGUUAACUAACGCAGAUGUAAAAUUAACAUGACAUAAUUUUUACACAUGUGUGACUUAAGUCACGCUGCGUAAGUUAACUCACCCUAGAAUUAACACAUGCACACGCUGGUUUUCAAAAUUUCAAUUGAGGCCGUAUGUUUUUUGAGUGUAACCAAUGAGGGAGGGAGAUCAAGUCAACCUGAGCAGCAUGUGAAUAUGCACUCAUUCCCAAUACAUCCAUUUCCAAUAGAAUUUCAAUUCCAAUUGUGUUUCGUAUUUCAUUUUUUAUUUUGUUUCUUUUCAAUUCCAAUAGAUUUUCAAUUCUUCAGCCUUCUUAUUGUGUAAUUCGUGUUUGAUUUUUUGUUUCUAUUCCAAUCAAUUUUUUAUUUUGUGCUUCUUAAUUUGAAUCCAUAUCCUGCUAUGUUCAUAACUUUUAUAAAUUAAAUUUUGGUUAUUCUAAUAUAUAAUUUGAUAUCAAUUCCAUGGUUGAUUUGAUAUUUGAAUGAGGAAAGUUGAAGAAUUAUGAGUGCUGAGAUUAGAGUGAAAACCUCUGUGUGCACAAGGAAAGAGAUGAAGCGUAGAUAUUGCUAUCAUAUUUCUAAUUAUGUGUGCACCAAAUACGUGAUAGGAUAUGUGUUUAUCCUGUGACUAUCAUAUCAUUAUCUUAUUUUUAAUUAUAUCAUGCUUCUAUCAUAUCAUACGCAUCAAACGGACCCUUAAAAGUCAAUGACAUCAUACUAGAAUUGUGCUUACCACCAAAUAAAAAAAAUGUGCUUACCUCGCAUCCAUGGAAGACUUGAUAAAAGAUUUAUAAUAGACUUUUGAUCAUGUCCCUAUUUGUAAGCAUCUUUGAUACUUUCAUAUGUAUUAAGAAAAUAGAUGGCAUCAAUCAAGUAUAUAAUUUAUGUAUAAACAUUAUUAAAUUGUUCUUUAUGUAUAAAUAUGUCCAAAAAAAAUUUAUGUGUCAAAUAAAUUACUAUUUCCUUAAAAAAAGAAAUACUAUUAUUUUCCAAGAAAUUAAUAGUAUUUAUAAGGAGUAUAUUUAAAAAUUAAUAAUAAAUAUACUUAAUAAUUAAAAAAAUGUUAUAUUUUGAGACGACUUUUUUUUUGUGUGAAAAUGAGCUCAUAAUUAUGCAAGAGGAAAUAUUGUACUUAUAUUUGUAUCUAACUCAACUCAAAAGUUAAUAUAAUAAUAACAUGGAGUACUUUGACUAUGUUCACGUUCACAUACAAGAAUCAACACGACAGUGUAUACUGACUGCUUCCUCAACUCCUCCUCCUCCCUAUGUUGAGUACAUCCAGUCCACAUUCAGCAUGAAUGUGCAGUAUGAAAUUUACUUAUGCCUAGGUUAAGUGUAUAAAGAAAAACCGUAAUCCAAUUAAUUUUAAAAGUAUAUGUUACAAUAUAUUAACUUAUAUUUGCAUUUUAACUUAAUUAAUUAUUUAGUUCAUUAAAUAAUAUACAUGUAAAUUAGUUAUACAAAUGUUAGGAGUCUCAUACUAAGUAAAUAAAAGUGUUGAAUGUAAUAAUAUGAGAUAUGAAAUUCUUUUUGAAUGAUGAUGAAUUAGUCUUUUGAGUUGGACUUCAUAUAUAACAUUAAGUCCUAACAACAAAUUGGUUAGCUAUGCCAACUGUUAUGAUGACACUCCAAUAGUGAUGUUCAUGCAAAUUUUCAUUAGAUAUUUUCGAGCGAAUUUAUUUCAUUUUAUGAAUAGAUAUGUCCAAACGAAUAUGAUAUUUAUGAUAUUGAGGGAAUUUUAUCAUUUUCUUCGAAAGAGACAAGCGAAAAAAUGGUUAUGCUUCAAAAUAUCAAAGUUCGAAGGCUAUUAUUUCAAAAAUUAAUUUGGAGAAAUUCGAAGACAGACGUUCUUAAAGUCAUUUGAAGUCCAUAUUCCCUAACUUCUCAAAAUUGUUGGAUUUGAAGUGUAUGAAAGAAUUUCUAUAGAUAAACCGGUUAAAGGAUUUUCAACGCGAAAGAUUCAAAAGAAAAUAAAAGCUCCAUAGAAGAUACAUGACAUUCAUGCAUUCUAGGAGUUAAUUUAUUUUCUUUAUAAAUAAUAGAAUUAAACUUUAUGCAAAAGAGUUCAAUUUCAUACAAAAACGUGUCUACUAGAUAACACAUUAAACGAAUGAUGUAUGUAACUCACCUAUAUUUAUAAUAAUAUCAAUUUCUUUUUAUCUUUAUUUCUUGUUUUAUAUACUCGAUCACAAUUUCUUGCGUCACAAACUAAAAUUUAUGGAUAUAGACCUAUCAAUCAACUUAGAACUCUUCAAUGAUUUAACUUGAAUCCUAGAUUCACCAUUCGAGUUUAUUUGUUGAAAGAAAAAAUUUCACGUUAACGAAUGAAUAUUUAAAAAUAGAGACCGCAACUCAUAUAAAUGAAUUAUGUUGUUAAUGCUUCAAAACUCAAACUUAAUAAAUCCACUACAUAUAAUUUUACUUUUUUUUUUUUUCUAGUAUAUAAAACCGAUGAGAAUUCAUUGUUUAGAAACAUGAAGAAUUAGUAUCGUCAUAAUUCGACUCAACCAAUUUUAAUGAAAUGAUCAUUAGUGUCAAUUAUAAUAAUUUCACCAUACUCCAAUUAUUUUAAAAAUAAUACAGAACAUCAAUAAAAUCACAAACUAAUAAAGAUGGAAAUCUUAAACUGUUGAUUAAAAACACCAAUGAAUUGAAAAUCCUUGUCAGUAUUUGCGAGCAACUUUUAGAAUGUGAGAGGUGAGCUUUUCUGGUUUAGAAAACAUGACCAUGUGAUCUGAAUCCUUUAUCACUUUCACCUCAACAUAUGGACGAGUAUUCUCAAUCAUCCAUAUUUGAAAAUCCUCUGUCAACAAAUUAUCUUCUUUGCUGAUGAUGAAGGCUUUAGGCACCCUUCCAUUCCUAUGUUUGGUAACUCUUGUUUCUUUCAACAAUAGUUUUUUGUCAUUAAAGAUAGGAUGUGGCCUCACCAACGAUAAUCCAAGUGUCAAAUCCUGUACAUGUUACCAUCAAUAUAUGGCUUCAAUGUAAAUUAAUAUAAUAUAAUACAAUAUAUAAUAUGCCCCUAAAAAAAUGUAACAUGGCAUGUUAAGCUAACUUGGUGUACACAUUUGGUGCUAACGAUGUCAAGAGAAAAUGUCAAAAUGGGUUAUCACUUGGUGUACACAUUUUGUUAGAUUAUAUUUAAUAUUUCGUUCUGUUUUGUUAUUGCUCAACUCAAAUCAGAUGAACUAUCAAACCUCUUUAUUUUUUAUCUUCUUUAACCCACCUUGGUUAAUCCCACUGUUAACAUCAAAAUGUAGAAUAUGCAUGGACAUCAACUAUAAUAUAUAUUCAGUAUAUAAAAUUAUUUACCUUAAUUUCAAUCAAACAAUGAAAAAAAUUACCUCAUGAGGAGAUAAUUGAUAUAGAUUAGAUGACAUGAUUUUGGGUCCCCACAAUGAGGCAGUUGGAGGAUUAUUUAUCCCAUUUGAGAAGAAUAAUUGGGAUUCUCCCUGUCGAGUGGAAUUCUAUACGGCAAUAAAACAAAAUGAGAUAAAUUAGAAACAAAUGUGACAAUAGACUUCCACAAUUAAAAUUAAAACUCAGAAAAUUAUAAAGUACCAUAAACAUAUAUAACCAUGAUCAAGACUGUAUUCUAUAUUAUUCAACUAACCCUUAUUAAUCCAUCAUAUACUGUGUAUAAUAAAUGUGAGAAAAAGACAAAGCAAAGUACCUCUUGAUUAAAACUUGUGAAAUUAAGAUUUUCACUAAGCACCAAUGCAGUGAUAAAAACUGCAACAGAAAUUUUCUUAGGGAAUUUUUCCAUAGCAACAGAUAAGGGUAUCCCUCCAAAACUAUGACCCACAAGAAUCACCUUCUCCUUUGGAGGAAGAGAUUCCAUAAAUGUCAUGAAAGGUUCAUAAUAUUGUGAAAUUGAAUGAAUCUCUUGAACCUGGAUUGGACUGAUACCACAAGCAGCCAAGUCAAUAGUUGUAACAUUAUGACCAGCUAAUUUAAGCAUAGUUGCAACCUUAUACCAACACCAUGCACCAUGGAAAGCUCCAUGAACAAGCACAAAGUGCUUCCCAUUAGCACCAAUGAAAAAUGAAAGAAUAAAGAAGAGAAGAAUCAACACAACGUGUCUUCCUUGUUUAAACAUGUUGAUAAUAUAUUAUAUCUCUAUGAUUAGGAAUGAGCUAAUACAUAGACCUUUAGCUCCUUUAUAUAUGUGUUUGGUCAUUGACCAAUUAUAAAUGUUCUAACCUUUUGAAUAUUGGAGACAUUUUGUAGAAUUUUUUGUGGUCUAACCUUUCGCAUUCACACAUAUAUGGGAUAUCAAUGACUAUUUAAUCAACAUUGGACGGUCCAAAUUCAAAUUAGUUAUUUUAAAGGUUUAAUUGAUUUUUUGGUCUCGUAGCUAUUUUGGAGGUAUCACUUUAGUCUCAUAAGAAGGAGUAGAUUAUGCGUUUGUUUAGUAGCAAAAGGGUUAAUAUAAACGUGGAGUACGUUGACUAUAUACGUACACCUGAUCAAAAUGAAAUUAUGAUAUACACGAGUUUAAUUAUAUAUAUUUUAGAAUUAACAACAGUUUGUUGUCAGGUAUCAAAACACGUUCUAUAGCUAAAAUGCAAGUAACCUCAUCAAAUCAUUAUAUAUAAUUCAAAAUCACAGGCAAUAACUGGUGAGACUCUAAACCUGAAACUCUUGAUCUUAAGACCUAACUUUUUACUAUUAGAUCAAACUUUAAAGUGAUAACACUCUUCAAAACACGUGAAUAACCACGGUUUAGAGUAACUAACCUCAAUAAUUCUUCUUAGAAAAUUAUCAAAACAAUUAAGGCUAUAAGCAGAAAACGUGUGAAUAGGGCAAUCCAGUAGUUUCGCAUCCGCGUAAGAAACAAUUGAUGAUUUAUUAGAGAUAGUUGUUGAGUUUUUUUAAGGGAUAAUUGUUAAUUGUUAAGUUAGAGAACAAUAUUAAUAUAAGAUGAUGCACUGCCAAAAAAAAAAUAUAAUCCAUUCAUUUCGGUUAAUUUCUAUAUGAAUUUUCAAGUUUCAAAUUUAAGAUUCAUAUGUAAACAUAAGUGAAAAACCAUAGAUUUGAAGACUGCGAGUUCAUAUGAAAAUAAAAUUGUAGAUUUAAAGGUUAAAAAUCUAUACAUAAAUGGAUCAAAAUGACAUGCAUAAAGAUAUAUGACCAAAUCAUUAUCUAAAAUUAAAUGAAUGAGUCACAUGACUAAUUUUGUCAACAAUAAAAGUGCAUACUUAUUCAUAAUUUAAUGGUCAUUCGUUGCACGCAUAAAUGUAUUUUGAACAACCAUAUAUAAAACAAAAACAAAUAAUAUAGAUAUCAGGAAAAACUAACGCAAUUUAAUUUGUUUUUUUAUGCAUAGUAGCAUGGGUAACACAGCAGGACAAAAAAUAUCAAACAUCAUAAGCCCAACAAACAAAAAUUCAUAUAAUUGUUUAGGUAUUGAAAACCUUUACUUAUUGUUCAAACAUCAUAAUUAUGCGAUGAACGAAAACCUUUACUUAUUGAUAGUUGUUCUAUUUAGUGGUCAUGUGGUGAUGAAAUCGCAGCUUGUCUCCACCGCAUCGAAAGGGUGGGUUUGUUUAGGUAGAUGGUGGUGUCGUCGUCAUACUUUGUCCUUGAAAUCUGUAACACUCUAGUAUUUAUUUAAUUAUUUUUAAUUGUGUGGUGUCAUUUAUUUGAUUUUUGGUGAUUUAUGUGGUGUAUAUAUAUUUAUUAUAUGAUUAUUUUAUUAAAUAAUUAAAAUAAGAGGAGAAUAUGAGUAAUUAGAAUUUGGGGGUUAUGAAAUAAUUAGUAUAGUUAGUAGGGAGUUAAUUGCUAAUUAGGGGAGUUAGGGAAGUUACACUUUGGGAGUUAAGAAAAGGAAAGAAAAACAGAGAAAACAGUUUUUACGUGAAAACAGUCAAGUUUGGGAGAAAACCAAGAGCAAGGGAGAGGAGCUUAGGAACCAUUUUCUGUUGUGUUUAUUCUGCAAUUCUAAGGUAAGGGUGAGGUUUACCGCAAUUCUAUAGGUUCUGAAUUCUGAUUUUGUUCUAACAGGUUUAUGUGAGAAUUGGGAAAAGUUAGGUUUUUGGUUGAUUAAGGGGUUUUGAGUGUAGGAAUCGUGGAAUUGAGGUUAGAAAUGGGUUCUGAGUGCAUAAAACCUUUCAUUGCAUUUCUGUAAACUAAUUUGGGGAGUGAAUUGAGGAAAAAUGGGAUUUUUUGGUAAAACCUGCAUUCUGCCCGUACAGAAGUUCAUCGCUCGCCUCGCGAGUAGUCAUUGCUCGCCAUAGCGAGUGACCAACUUCAUCGCUCGCCUCGCGAGUGAUACAACUCGCCAUGGCGAGUAGCCUUGUAAAAAUCUAGAUUUUGAAAAUGUUGUUAUAAGCCGUAUUGUGGGUAGUUUCGUGUACCUAGAUGAUUUUUAAGAGGACUAGAGCAAGUUUUAAGUUUAAAAGAUGAUUAGGGAGCUUAGAAUUGAGGUUUGAGUGAGAAAAAUGUCAUUUUUCCCGAGAGCACCAUAUUUCUGUUCGCCUCGAGUUCGCCUCCAACUCGCCAUGGCGAGUACCUGUUUUCCUGAGCUCGCGAGGCGAGCUGCCCAGUAUUUUGUUGGUUGAUUGCUGUUGUUGUUUGGAUGGUUUAUUUUGUUGAAUUAUUGCAUGGCUUGUGUGCUGAUAUAUAUUUUCCUGGAUGUAUUGGUUGGUUGUGAUGAAUAGAUGCUGAUUGAAUGAAUGUUGUAUUUAAUUAAAAUUUCCUUAAUGUUGCAAGUUGAAUGGUGAAUCAUAUAUAUGUAUAUGUUUAGGUUGGUUGGUAUGUAGAUAUACUCAAUGGGGAUUAGUUGCAUAAACAUAACAGUGGGAGAGCUUCGGCUCUGGAAUGCUUAGUCGUUCAAAGUGGUGGAGUACUAGUUACUCAAAGUGGUGUAGUGGUGAGGACUUAUGUCCUGUUGAGAAUGCUUUAACCAUUCGACAGCGGUGUGGGUCACGGCCCUGAUUUUUGGUACCACAUGCAUGGGUGUUUAGAGGAGUCUUAGUGGAGUGGUGAUAAGUUGCAUUUGUUGUUGAGAGGUUUAUGAAUUAAUAUUGUUGAUAAUAUGCGAAAUUGUUGUUAUGUAAAUAAUAAUGUGGAUGAAUUAUAUGAUAGGGUGUUAGAUUCAAUUGAUGUAUUCUUUAUCUAUAAUUUGUUGUGAAUCUCACCCCUUCUGCUUGAAAAUGUUGCCCUUCCUAUGGGUAACUUGCAGGUUAUCCUGAGUAGUUGGUGGUGGCUCAUUGUGUCUAGGACUCUGAUGCGUGGGAUGGGAUUUAUAGUUUUAAAUUUCUACCAUGUAUCAAUUUUUGGAACAAGUUAAUGUAGUCCAUGUUUAUUGUUGAAUUUUAUGUUGAGGCCUAGUGCCAAGAUUUAAUUUUGGAUCAUGGAGUUUAAUUUAAAGAAUAUUCCGCUGCAGUUUAAUGAAUGAUUUUGUUAAAUAAUUUUAAUCUAUUUAAGAAUUUAUGUUUAGUAGUGUGACAUGCCGUUUGGUGUUGAACUCUGAUUUUAUAAUUAUAAUUAAAUUGAUUUUGGGAAACGGGGUGUUACAAAAUCAGUUUGGAUCUGGAUCUUUCUGUUUAGUAUGUUCUCUUGGGGUUUUUUUUUGUGUUGAAACCUGGAAUGGUAUGCUUGAUAUCCUCUAUCUCGCAGCCGUUUUGGAGUUUUUUCUCCGCCAUGUGGAUUGGUUCUAAUGGGUUAUUCAAAUUUGUCGUCUCCUUCCUUUCUUUGGAGGUGGUUGUGGCAUUGUGGUUGGAAACGGUUGGUGUACGUGGAUUUGCUAAUUACCGUAACGGUUGUCGAAUCCACUCUCCAUUUUCAUGAAUUUGUCCAUGGUUGUAUCCCAGUCAUCCCUUUAAUUUCAUAAGACUGUGUGGACUCGAAAGAGUCGUUAAUGUUUGAUGUCGUUGUUGCAUGGAGUUAAUGGCACGUGAUCUAAUUUCAUGUUGACGAUCGAUUCAUUUGCCAAAAUAUAGACCCGAUUGGUACUUACAAACGUCUAUCAUUAAUGAUGUUUGCUUGUUAAAAUUGAUUAUGGUUGGAUCCACUUUGUUGAUUUUUUUUUUUUUUUUUUUUAUGUUUUACCUGUUAGGGGUGUAUUAACUCGGUCAAGUUUUUUGUCCACAUUUUUUAUGUAAUGUUCCCCUUUUUUAAUAAUAUAUAUAAGCAAUUGACAAACGAGUAUAGUAGGGUAUACCUUAGUUAGGCAUCAUUCUUUUUUAUGUCAUUUUGUUCUUGUCCUAUAAAAAAAUUAUUUUAUUUCUAAUUGACUAUUACACUAAAAAUUAGUACAAAGAUUAUAAAGAGUUCACUAAGAAAAAAUAAGUACAAUUAUUUUUACUUUUAUCUCAAACUUUUUACACUAAAAAAUUCAUAUUUAUAUCAUCUCAUGUUAAAAAAAUCUAAGUUUUUGUAGAGAAUUUUUUUUUUAUAAUAUUAUAAACAUGUCUCGAAAAUAUAAUGAGAUAGAUUAGCAACACUCAUUGUAACACACAUUUUACAAUAUAAUCUCUUUGAUUGGUUAAAGUUCAAACGCGUCUCACCAAAUUUAUAUGGCCCCACAUGGUUUGGUGGGACCCAAGUGAGUUUUAACUAGUGAAAUAAAGUAUGUUGAAAAGUAUGUGUUAAAAUGUGUGUUGCUAACAUUCCUCAAAUAUAAUUUAAAAAUUUAAAAUUUGAAGGUUAAUUAAACAAGUUUCACAUGAGUUUGCACAUAAAUCUUUUAUUGUUACCCAUUUGUGCAACAAGAUGAAAGAAAGAAAGAAAAAGAGGAAAAUACAAAAUAAUAGCCGAAGAAAAAUCUAAUAUCAAUGAAAUAAUUUCUGACUGCGUUUAAAGUAGUAAGGGCAAGAAUUUCAAAUUUGUCCAAAAAUUGGAACAUUACAAAAAAUGUUGCGAUUAUUAAUAAAUAAAAUAUCAAUUAUUUAGAGCACAAAUGUAAUAGAGGAUAAAAUUUACAAUCAUUUUAUAUUCCUAACAUAUAUAACAUUUUUUAUCACUUAACAUGUGAGACUCCAAGAGUCAUGAAAAAUUAAGGAGAAUGGAUUCAGCAGACAUGCAUGUAGUUAGUUAAUUGGUUGUAUUCUUUGUGAUAUAUGCAUGUAGUUUAUAUUGUUGUUCCUUCGUGAUUGGUAUACAUGACUUUAGGAUCAUAUUUAAUACAUGAGAGUGACAUAAAAUCAAUUGUAUAUGAUUUAUCUAAUAAUUAAAAUUAAAUUUUUUAAAUUAUAUUUAAUAUGAUAUGUUAUUUGUGAGUUUUCUUCCUUUCUUUAAUUGAAAUUUGUAACACUUAAAUUUAUAAAUUGAAAUAAAAAUUUUAUAUUUUAAAUUAAGUUUAUAAUUAAAUUCUCACCAGUACCUUUUGAUUGAAUUUUCAGAUUGCGAGAGCCUCUUCUUCUUGGAUGAAAUUUCAAAUUUUCAUAUUUUAAAAUAUAAGAUUGUCGGAGCUUUUAUCUAGGUUGAAUUUCACAAAACAAUUAGAGAAAUUAAGUAUAAAUGUUGCUUAGGAAAAAAAUAAUAACAAAAAAUAAAAGUUUUCAAAUAAAAUAACAAAAAUUAAUAUCCAUAGUAUGAAAUAAUUAAAGUGGACUAGUAUGUAGGACCAUACCACGUGGACUCUUCUAUACCUUGACUAUUCAACAUGUACAUCUCAAUUUGAUCAUUCAGGUCACAUGAGUUUGUCUUUCAACGUCACUAGCUCUUUCACAGAGUGUUGUUUGUUGUUUUUGGAUUUUCAAAUUGUUGUAUUUGAAUUUUCCAAUUCUAUUAUCUACCGAAGUUGUUACUAGGUUGAGUCACGACUAGGUCGCUCUCUUUAAGACGUUUCGUGACACUGCCCAAAAUUGUGCAAGGCAGACUAUCAACCACGCCGCCUCUAGGAUAAAAACAAGUCCAGCUACAACUGUGCGGUUAACUAGUGCACUGUAGAAAACCGUUCGAGAUUUACACCUUCAAAUAUGGUACUAAGAUCACUCUUUAAUACUGAAACCACCUAUGAUAUUGUAACCACUCUAUUAUGGUGUUGCCACCAUUCUAACUUUAAUUUAUCCAAAACAUCAAUAUGGCACACAACGACUCAAAUAUGGUGAUACCACCAUUUCUCCUCAAAUAGAAAAAUAUUGAAAUACUUUUUAUAUAUACCGUUAAGAUCAUUCUUAAUUUUUACGGGACAUUGUUAUUCCAAAUAGGGACUAUGAUCUUAAAAGUAAUCUUUAUUCUGAAGGGACAUUUAUCGAAGGGACAAUGUUUUUAAGACCAUUCUUAAUUCCGAAUGGACAUUAAACCGAAAAGUGACUAUGGUCUUAAGAACACUCUUAAUUCCGAAGGAACAGAAAAAGGAGAUGAAUAGAAGAAAGACUCGUCAACACAAGUCAAGAAAUGGAGAAGAGAUAAAGAGUUCCCAACAACUCAAUGAAACUUUUUGGUGUGUUUUUUGAACUGAGUGUAGUCUUCUAUUUAUAUAGAGAUUUUGUAACUGUUUUAGCAAAAAUUGCGACAGCAGUUACUCUAAUGGAUAAGAUCAAAAUGGAGUUUAUCCAUUAAUCAAUUCAACAACACUUGUGGAUAGGAUCAAAAGAAACAAAUCCACACAAGUGGAGCAAACAAACUAUUAGAUUUGAAUGAAGGAAAUAUAAAAAAUUUAAUUAAAUUCUUAUUCUUAUCACAACCACCAUAAGCUAAAUUUAUAGAAAAUGAUAUUUUCAAAUAAAAAUAAUAAUUACUAUUAUUUUUAUCAUUAUCAAAUAUUUAAAAUUAAAUACCGCAAUUUAAACACUUCUAAUGUGUGUGUUCUAUUUUAUAUGGGACCCCACACUAUAUUUUUUCAAUUCACACAACAUUAGAUCAAAGUAUAAUUACUUGGUGUUUAAUCUUCCAAUUUAUUUUCCAACAUCACACUAAUGUUCCAACAUUGUUCAAGUGACAUUGUGGUCUUCCUCUUGAAGUCUCAUAACACGCCACACGUCUUGCACGUACAUGUGACGUGAGCUACAAUAAAAAGAGAUCCAAUUCAUCUUCUUUUAGAAAUUUUCACGUGUUCCAUUAAUCUGCAUUUGUUUCACGUUGGAAUCCAUAACCAAGACUCUUUUGAGUAUCAUAGUUAAAAGAGCAGCAGAAUAGACAAAUCUAUGAUCUCAAAUUCUCUUUAUUAAUUUGAUUCAAGAGUCGUGAUUUUCUUUUUGGUAAAAAUAAAAUAAAAUAGAGGUAAUAAAAAAAAUAAUGGCUUUGUUAAGAACCGAAUAAGUGAAAUUUGAAGAAAAACUACUACAAUGGUAUGCGAGAGAGGAAAAUAUUGGUUUAGUGGUUGUUUUAUAUAACCUGAUAGACAACAAAUCAACAUGAUAAGUAGGGUCAUCAACAUUGUGUAGAACAGAGACAUCAAAUAUAAUCCAAUUCCUACUAACAAGAUAGAAACAAAACAAAGUUCCACAAUAUAAUACAAGAACAAAAUAAAACAUGCAUGCUAAAUGUAACAAUACAAAUAAAAUAAAGUUAAAUAUGUUUUUGGUCAUUGUAAAAUUAAAAAUUUAAUCUUUACUUAAUUUUAAUAUAUCUUUUAGUCGCUCUGUUUGGCAAUUUUGAGGGAAGGGGAGGGUUUGUAAAAAAUGAAGGAAAAAGUGGAAAGAAUUGAGAGAUAUGAAGGUGGAGAGUAACGACUAAACUUAAAAUAUCUCAAUUUUAUAAAAACUAAAUACAUAUUUAAUCCAAUAAAACAUUUCAAUUUUUAACUUGAUCUCCUAAUAACAUCAAAACCAACUCCAUAUAAUAAACAUUUGAUCAUUUGAAUCAAUAGGAAACAUAGUCGGUUUUCAUAAGCCGUAAAAAUGUGUAUUAAAAUAUUGAUAGACAAAAGUGCUCAUUUUUCAAUUAGUGGUUAUAAAAAAGUAGAUAAAAAUAUCAACACUAUAUACAAUACACACACUCAAGCUCGAGUUCUAAUCCUCUCCAUUUUGAAUCUCCUCCCUUUUUUCUAUCUAGAGAAGUAGAGACGCAAUAAAAUUUGAAAAUAAUUAAUGAUGAUGAGACUCACUAGUUAGUAGAAUCCACAAUUAAUAUUUUUUGUGUAUUUCUUUAUAGAGUUAGGAUCAUCUCCAUUAAAACUCUUCUUCAUUUCUUCCUUUAGAGAGAUAAAGACACAAAGAACAUUGAAAAUAAUUAAUGAUGGUGGAACCCAUUUAAUGAUAGCACUCACCACCUAAUCUUUUUUUUCUUUUUUUUUUACAAAAUAAACGAUAUUCAUUCAUUCAAAUUGAUAGAGUACAUCGAUACAAUACAAAACAAAAAGGAUGAAUCUGUGAACAAACUCACAACAUCCAAGUUAAUAGCAUAAAGUGGCAAAGUACAUAUGCCUACAAAUAUGACUAGUAUGACUAUAUUCAUGUCCCCGGAAUACUCAUGUCUCCGGAUCUGCAACGUUGGCGACGUCAAAGUCAUUGUCAUUGAUCGGAUUUACACUUGCUCAAAACUAAUCUUUCAACCUGAAUCAAAUAAACAUCGCGCUAAGACGGGACAUCAAAAACACACCGCAUAAAGACGGGAAACCAAAACAAACAGUCGUUCAGAUACGAGGAAAUCACAAAAACAAACGAAAGAAAUCAGAAAAAAUGUGAAAUCACUUAUUGAAUUAGGAUAGAAGAAAAAAAAAUCGGAGGGGUGAUUUUUGGGUCAAAAUUGACCCUAAAUCACCCCUCUAAAAAGAAGAAGAAAAGGGUGACGACUAGGGUUUGGGAAGGAGAUAAGAGAUUUAUUUUUUUAGAUGGAUGAUUUAGGGUCAAUUUUGACCUAAAAAUCAUCCAAAAAAAAGGGUGACGGCUAGGAUUUGAUAAGGAAAGAAUAGAUUUUUUUUUUUUGUCAUCUUCAUUUAUUUUUAUUAUUAAAUAUACUAAAAAAACAAUGUCAAGCGAUGUCGAAUAAUAAAUUUUGAUGCCCCGUCGAUCUAAAUAAAUCAUAAUUUAACUUUUGUAUAACUAUUGAAGUCAAGUAUGUUUAAUCAUCUCACGAUUAAUAUUGAUUAUCAGUGUAAAACAUUUUUAGACUGUGAAUCGUAUAAAUUAAAUCCUCAAAUUUUGUUUUCCUUUUUUUUUUUUCAUAAAUUUUUUGUCUUCGCUCAAGUUUUUUGUUCUAAGAAAUGUGAUAUAUACUCCUAUGAACAAAUAAAAUAUUUGUAUGCACUUCACAAAUAAUUAAUGAGUUUACACAUGAUUUGCAAGUGCAUAUAAGUAAAAUCAAUCCAUAAUUAAUAUCCAGUUACCAGAGUUUGGAUUAUUUAAAUUUAAGAAUUAUCAUCCAAGGCAAGUCAACAAAUUCCAGAAAUUUUUUUCCCUGAUUCAUUGUACCAAAGUGGUGAUUCUACUCAUGGCUAAUCGUAGAUUUAUUGACUUCUUACUUCACUUUAUUAGCAAAUUAUAAUAAUUUACAGACUCAUGCAAGAAACAUUUCAUAAAAAAUAUAUUCAUAAAAAAUCUGAGGUUAAUCAAUAUAUUCAUAAAAAAUUCUCUUUAAACCAUUUAUAUCUGCUAAGAAAUAAAUAAAAGGCCACAACCAAGAGGACAUAGUACUUCAGCCUAAAAAAUUCUGAUGAAUAAUUGAACCUUUUACAUUUGCAUUGAAGAUGUAGGAGAAAUAAUAUUAAAACAAGAAAUUCCAUAAUUUAUAACAUUCUACCCACCCAUCUCACUGAGAAAAUCAUCUCUGCAAGUUGAGAGUAGCCUCAAAAACACUAGACAAAAUCAUAGACAAAAUCAUUUCCCCCCUAUAUGAAUGUAAAAAGCAUACAUUAAGCAUCAUCGUUAUCUAAAUAAAUUGCUCCAACUUCCUUGAUGUAGUAGAAUUAUUAGGUGGUCGGAAAGACUCCAACCGCAAGGUUGAGCUUGUACGAAUCUCACUUAGAACAACAUCCCCUUUCUCGUGCUUUAUUGCCUCCAAUGUGCUUCCAAGAACAUCAGCUGCAAGUCCAAAUUCUAGGAGACUGCCUGGCUCCUCUCCACCAUCAUGUACUAACUGCCCAAUCUCGUUCAAACCGACUAAACUCUCUGUUAUAAGUUCUGCAAAAAUACGGCCAAGAAACUCCGGUGCCUUGGGGGCAUCAUUAACAGCAUCCUCCAAUGUACUGAGAACUGUCUCGAACCUGGCCAAUAUUAUAUGAAAAACAUAACAUGAAGAGUGUUUUUACAAGACAAGUAUGAGAAAAGGCAGCAUUCACCAUCAGUGUGAACUAGUUAGUUUUACAGACAUCGAAAGUGGGCUUAUGUGGCGAUAAAAAUGAAUUUCAUUGGAUGUCAGUGUAAAACUAAUAUGCAGCGACAGUGCAUCACCAUUAAACUCAGUAUUCUUCCUACUAGUCAUUAUAUCGUGAAAUAAAUCUUACCCUUCGAUAAGCUGAGUUGGACUCAGGAGGCCAUCCUGAGACUUCCCAAGCUUGACAAGCAGUUUAGCCAAAAGAUCUCUUUCAGCGUCCUUUCUCUCAAAUGAGUCUGUGACCCAGAGAGAAACCAUAGAAGGAUGAAAGUUUGGAGAGUUCAGAUCUUUGAUGCAUUGAGCAACUUCGUUUACAUCUCUAGCACUGAAAAUUGCAUAAGUUUCAGUCAGAUCAUAUUACACACAAGAUAAAUGGGAAAUAAGUUUGUCAUACAUCACCGCAAAAGCAAAAGAAAAAAAACCUAAAAACUUAACAAAAAAACGAAAGACACGUAUGGAACUUAACUUGGCUCCCAUCAAUAACCAGUUCCAUGAGGUACAGACUGUCUAUUUCUUGAGAUAUCAGAGUCAGAGUGUCAAACAAGUUUCCAACAACAUCUGUAUGACACUCAUUAGACUUGUGCCAUACACUCUUCGUCGGGAGUUCUAUUAGAACUAUUAUUUAUUUGCAUGGACAUGCACUAGAUACGGAUUGGCACUUGGCUGACAUUUAAAUAUCAUUUUGUUUUAAAAUAAAUUUCAGGAAAAUCAACUUAAAACAUUAAAGGAGGUUAAACCAAAAAAAAUAAAUAAGGUCUCUAGUAAAUUAAAGAAUGCCACUGCUUCAUAUGUUAAUUCUUGUUAUCCCAUACAUGCGUGUAUCUACAAAAGCUAAAAUUUGACAGUAGAGUCUACAUGCAUGCUCAAGACUAACUCAUCUCAUGCUCUCAACCAAUACGAGUAUGCAACUAUGUAAAUACCUUUAUGUGUGUAUGCAGUGUAUGUGUCAUUGCCCGUACAUGAUAGUAAUUAUUAUAAUCAUAACGUUAAAACUUGUGAUAAAUCCCCAACAUCUACACAACGUUACAAUAACAAAUAAAUCUGAAUUCAAUAAUCUACCAGACCAAGCAACUUCCCAUAUCUCCUUUCCCUAUUCGAAAUGUGUAUAGAACAUUUCGCAGUCUCCAACCGUUACUAUUCUAUGAUAUUCAUAAGUUAACAGGCAAGGGAAAUUCGGUCAUAAACAAGGAAGACAACACAGACCAGGGGGAAACUGCAUUUAACUCUAACUCCUUAAAAUUUAAUUACUGUUUUAUAAAAAACUAUCAUGUGAAUGACCAAUGUUACAGACCCUGAUCACACUGAAGUCCCGCUUUGUGUUGAACUUCAUGUCCUGGAAUUGAGGCGUUCGGAGUUGUUUGGGUCUUCGGGAAUUAAUCAUAUUAUUAAAGGCUAUGAAGGAAUGAACUUAAUCUAAUCAUGACCUAUUUUUGCUUAAACAAUAGGGUUAGAAAAGGAAAUAAGGUGGUAAAUCAAACAACUAAUUAAAACUUGUAGACUGAAGUCCAAAAACACGAGAAGUAAAACAAAAGAUCGAUAAAAGAAUGAAACAUCAUAAUUGGCACCAGCAGAUUCAUUGAUGAGAUGAUAUAAAGCUACAAUCCUGAUAAUGGUAAAAUCCUAAUCCUAAAUGAAAUAAAGAUAAACUGUAAUAAAGAUUUGUAUGUCUCAACUUUCAUGAGAUAUACUGUAAUGAACAAAAAUUGUAACCGAAAAGAUAUAAACAACACAAAAACAAAACAGUACCUGUAGUAUUCUCUGAUUGCUGACAAGGACAUGUCCCGUAGUUGUUCAUCUGUAGAAGCAUUUUGAGAGACAAUUGGCCCUUGCGGCUGAGCAUGAGGUGAAGUUGCAACAGGCCUAUUUAGAUUCCGAUCAUCAUUCCUUAAGUCUCUGUUACCAUAGUUUAUAUUAUGAGAUGCAGCACUUGAAUGAUCAUAUCCAGCUGGACUUGAAGGUCUGUCUGACAUAUAUCUUGAUGCAAGAUCCUCCCUAUUGCCAUACGAUGUGCGUUCAGAUAAAUUGCCAUAACCAUUAAUACCGCUAGGCAUUCUGUGAGAGUCUCCAGGGCCAGAAUGCACAUCAGGUAUUGACAUAUUUGAAUUUGUCGGUCCUCUACUGGACAUUCCCCUAGCAAGACCACCUUGGGGUCCCAAUGUUAUAGAUUCAUUACCCAAGGGUCUUUGAGGAAAAUUAAUUGGCAAGGUCCUAGGCUCAUAAGAUUGCCUUUCUUCAAAACGAGCAUCUUGUAAACCAUAUCCACGUGUUUGAGUAGAAAGCCCACGCGGUCCACCCAUUGGAGAAGGAGGAGACAACAUAGGUGAUCCUCUAGGACCAAAAUCCAUGGGGUUCCUUCUUGCAGAUUGAUUGUUUCCCAUACCACGACCCGUCCUACCAACUUGUGCUUGAGCCUGCCUUUCUUGCACGGCAUCUCUGUGUACCUCCUCAAUCUUCUUUGGACCAUCAACUUUUCUCCUUACUUGCCAUCUAUUCCUUCUCAAAUCAAUUACAUCCUUCAACAUAAAUCUUACCCUAGAAGAUAAAUUCAUGUUGUUUGAUAAUAUUUUCAACCUUUCAAAAUAUACAUCCAUAUGUUCUUUAGCUUUGGGAUGGUCAAUCAUCUCCCCAAUAGUACUCAUCAGCUUGCACAGAGCCUCAACAUCUUCCUCAUCAGGAUCCUGACACUGACCUAGUAACUUCUUUAUGCACUCGUGCAUUAUCCUCUCUGUCAACAUUUUCUUCUUAUAAAGUUCUCCAAUCAAUCUGAUGUUUCCUAACAUGCGCCUUCUUGCCUUGGUUCUUCUCUGCUCCCUUUCUUCAUUUGACAGCUUGACCUCACCCUCAGCCUCAUCCACCUUAUUUGCCUCUUCUUGUUCUCUUUCACCCCUCUCAAAUUCCUCCUGGCAUUUGUUUAAUAAUAACCUCUUAAAAGUUAUCUUUUCGUUGUCCACACUCAAAUCAGGCAACUCAGCAGCCAGAUGUGAGCAGAAGUUGGCAUACAUUUCACAGAAGGUAGGUUCCAUCAGAGCCUUCUCGAAGAUUUGUGAGAUGACACCAGUGAGAGUGAUUGCGUUGUCAAUAUUAACUGCUUUUACCUGUUCAAAAAGUCUAUCGAAAUUUUGAGGAGUUAGUUUGUUCAGGAUAGCUUUCAGUUGCCUCUGCUUUGCCUCUUCUGCAUCUGACACUUUCCCUAUUUCGUACUUCUUCUCAGCCUUGUGCAUCAUCUGUAAGGGAUACUGAGGAGAAGGAAUUAAACCCCUCUGCUGGAAGCUAGUAGAACGUUGCCACCUCUCCCCGUCAGGACUAUUUCUUUGCAUUCCACCCUGAUGUGCCCCAGAUUGCAUUGGCCCAGAAAGGAUCGCCCCACCAUAUUGGAUGGGUGCCGGUCCACGAGGAUUCCUUAAAACACCAAAAUUGCCUCCUUGGCCAUGUCGAAAUCCACCGCUACCAUCCAAACCACGCCCAGAAUGAAAAGCAUUGGAAACUUUGUUCCAUUUGUCUUCCUCGGCCACAACAUUCCCACGGUGUUCCAUCCUUGACCUGUCUACAGUUCUUCCAGGACUAGGAUGUGAAUCACGAGAAUUACCAACAUUGGAAUUCAUCAAAGCCGCAGCUAUGUCUGCCGUAAUUUCAAAACCUUCAGGAAGAGUAAUGCAUUGCUCUGAGAAUUUCAAAAGAAAAUCACGCGAGUACUUUUUUUCUGUACUUCCACUUCCAUCAAAAUCCUGCUGAGAUUUAUCAUCAACUUCAAGCUUUGGUGUAGACACGUCAGCUGCAUCCUCCCAGUCAUCAGGUUCGGCUUUAUUCUGACCACUUUUCUCGCUUACUGCAGCAUCUAACUGAGCAGAAUCUGCGGAUAACUGCUUUAAACCUUCAGAUGUACAUUCACUUUCUGAGCUCUCUGAAAUUAAGCCAGUUUCUUUCUUUUCCUCAGGUCCUUUAUAUGCAUUAUAAAGAUCAGAAGUUGUCCCAGCAGCAUCUGCUUUCUGGAGAAACUCUUUUCUUUUCUUCUUCCCUUUAGAUGUAGUUUUCGCCUUAUUUGGUUCUAAAUUUGGUCUAUCCUUGGUACCCGACACUGAAUGGGACAUCGAGUCACUGCAUGCAUUCUCCGCACUAUCAUUGGUUUCCUUGUUUGCUUCUGGUAAAUCAGCAGACUGCAGAUCUGAUGCUAAAAUUUCAAUAAAAAAUAUUCAUUAGUAACUACACUAUCAUUUCUACCUAAAUAGACAUCACUAGAAUCCAAUGCAGUAUAGGUUGGUAUGCCUGAGCUAUCAUCUGUCCUGUCAUCUGACUUAAAACUAGCAGAUUCAUCCUGUCCUUUCUGUAUUGUUUUAAAAGCUCUGAAGCAUAGGUACUCCAAAAUUCGUCUUGUACCUGUACCCAGUACUCGUUGGGUACUUGUUGAUAUUUUUCCUGUUACAUUGUAUUUUUUUUCCUAUUUUUUACUAUAUAACAACAUUUACCACACUCAUAUUAUGUAAAUAAAUAUCCUAUUUCUAUCAUAAUUUUCUUGAUCACAUAUAUUUAUUUCCAAACUCAACUCAAUUUUUAUUUCUGAUGUAGAAAUUCUGAAGAUGCUUUCUUGUAUAUUUUUUGUUAAAUGUUAUAUUUAUGAAAGACAUUUCUUUGUAUAUUGUUAAUGUACCAGUACGUACCUUAGUUUUUCUAAAAAUCUCAUAUCUCGGACUUGUACCUAGUACCAUACCCGUAUCCAUGCAACAUAGUUUAAGGGUUAAAACUUCAGUGCUUACAUUUGCAGCAUAUUUUCAGUUUGUUUAAAUUGUAAUGCCACAUUUAAUUUUAUUUUUUUUUGGAUUUUAUCAAGAAGUUCGUCAUUUAAUAAUAAUGCUUACCUUCGGAUGAUUCGUCUAUCUUAUCAUGCUUAUGAUCACUCAAACUAUCAGCCACUUCAGCAACAGAUCCUUCAGAUGUGAGAAGAUCUUCAGUGAUAAUUGCAGGAAAAUGGUUUGUUUCACUUCCUACAGGUGUGGAAACCCCAGUAUCAGAUAUACUACUGUCAACAGCUCGAGACUGCAUACUAGCCGCUGUAGGAGAUUGCACAGAAACCUGUGGGAGAAGUCAAAAAGUAUAUAUAUACAUUAAAUAUUCAAUUAUACCAAGACCCAAAUAUUGUGUUAAAAAUAAUUCAAAUGUAUACCUGAUCUUGAGACGAUUGACCUAUUUUCCCAGAUUUCUUCUGGUUAUCCUUCGCAGAGUUGGACCUACUAACAGGUUCCCUCGUGUUGGCUUCAUUAUUAGUCACAACUGAAACAGAGUCCACAGUCACAGCUGGCGUAGGUAGCACUGUAAGCUUCUCAUCAGUGACAACAGAUGCAGCAGAUUGUUUUGGCAAACUCGAAAUUGAAGAAUCCUCGGAAGAUUUAGAAUGCUGUGUAGAGAUUUCCGAGGAGGUAUCGGGAUUUUGAACACCAGAAAUACUAGAAUUAGUCAAUGAUGAGUCGGUAACAGCAGAAACAGCACUUGGUUUAAUAGUCACAGAAACCCCCGUUGAAGCUGAUGAUGUCACUUUAGGCACUUCACGAGAACGUUCUGCAGUGGGAGCUUCAGCAAUGUGAGGAAUAGGAGUGCUGACUUUAUUAACAGGCAGAGAACUAAGAGAAGAUGAAUUGAUGAAAGCUAAAUUUUGUGGACCAUUGUUCACAGGAUAAUUAAAUAUCGGUGGCUGGGUGUUGGGAGUUAUCUGGCUACUUGUUAACGGAAGAGAACCAGGAGGUUGAUAAUAGGGAGGACUGGAACUAUAUGAGCCGGAAGGAUAAUAAUUCGAAGGCUGAGAAGCAGCAAUGGAUUUAACAGGAUGGGAUUGAGAAGGUACAUUAGGAUGCGGCCUAGCACCAGAUGACCCACCAUCUGAAUAUCCAUCUGCCCUUUUAUCAAGCCUUAGCUCUUCAUGCGUUUCAGGGUGAGUUAUCUUGACAGUAGUAGUUUUUCGAGGACCCGCAAAAUUUCCACCCUGCUGCUGGGGGUAUGGAGGGCCGGUGCCAAUGCCCAUGUUGCCCAAUUGAUGGGGCAACUGAUGACCCAUUUGAUGAGCGAAACUUAAGUUAUGGCUUGGAUGCAUCAUCCCAUGAGAGUGCAUUGGAUGAGGCUGAAGACCAGGAAUAAAAACCGGCUGUUGCACUUGUCCAACAUUUCCGAUUGGUAUAGACAUUGGCAUAGGAAUAUGCAUGGGUGUCGAAGACAUUCCCUGAGAUUGAAUUUGUGGAUUAGGACCACCAAACUGUAAAGAUUGCUGUGACUGCUGAAAUGGUGUUGGCAUUGACAUCCCAGGUACAGGAACAGCAGAAGGCCUCUGCAUCUGGCUUGCCGGAGUCAAAGCUGGCAACUGGGGAUCCUUUUUAGCCUUAGCCCCCAGAUGAGUAUCUCUGGCAUUAGUUUUCUCGGUUACAACUGCAUCAUUCCUAGGUGGCUGCUGUGGCUUCGGAACAGUAGGGAUUGGCGCUGAAGGAACAGGUUUAAUAGAGUCGUGACGAGCCUGAAAGUUUAAGAAAAUAGAAAUCAGGAAAAAACUUGCUAUGAAAAGUGAAGAAAAAUAACAUUAAGCAAGCUAACUUCAAGUAGACAAAGUCACAAAACUUGUUAUGUGUUCCCCUUUCAGAUUUAAUUUCAAAAACAGUAUCUAUUCAUAUCAUGCCUUUGGAAGCAAUGGGAAGUAGCAUCAACUAUCUAUAACUACAACAAAUGUACGGACAUCAACGAGAAAGUGCCAAAAAGAAUAGAAGUGAAUACCUGAUCACGCUUCUGCUCAUCUAAAUUAGGAGGAGCUGAGCUUGUACGAGCAGGAAUCUGUAUAUUAUAAGAAAACAAUCAGUUACUCACCUUACAAUUCUAUAAAAUACGUAUAAACCAUACAUUUAGCAAUAAUAUGUCAGAACUUACAGCCACCCCAUUCAUAACACCAGGAACAAUCGAUCCAAACUGAAAAGGGAAUGCCUUUGAAGUAUCUCCUGGGACAGACAUAAAUAUUCAAAUUACUUAACUAUCACAGUCAAAGCAAACAAAAAAAAACUAAUCUAAAACAAAUCAAUCUCCAACACAACUUCAUGUGACCCAAUCUACGACUACGAGUAACAAAAAACAGGAGUCAAUCUACAUUUGACUAACAUACCCUUUGCAGGGCUUGUAGGAACGGUUGGUUCGGAGCUCACAGGGGGCGGUUGAGAGGUUGGUGCAUUUUGAGCAACUCUAGGGCUCCUCUGUGCAGCUGUUGAUUCAGAUGCCUUUGCAACCGGCCCAUCAGAUGCUCCUAUCCUACCACGUAAACUAAUGAAUUACAUAAACAAACAAAACCAUAAUUUACCAGACACUAAAACACAAACAUUAUUUGCAUAUUCUUCCGGUAUAAAGCAAAAGAGAUCUUUUCAGGUAUAGUAAACUUUUACUGAACGGCAUAACCAGACAUCAAAAACCAAUAAAGAGAAGAAUCAGAUUUUCCAAAAUUGAAUAAAAAGUUAAAAACUCAUGUUAAAGCUUACCAUGCAUCUGGGGUUGUACAUGAGUACCGUUAUGUAUGGUUCGAGCAGCAUAAGUACUGUUUGGCUCAGUUGAAUUCACGGGUGAAGGGUUCACCCGAUAUUGCCCACCUUGUGCAUUAUUAGACUUCUUGCUAAAACUGGAACACACAAUACAAAUAAUCAAUAAAAUAGGAACAGAGGAGAGAGAGAGAGACCACACUGCUCAUAAUGGGUGGGAAAAAAAAUUAACAAAUUAAAAAUCAUCAAACUUCAUGCAACAAAACAAGGAUAUUUAUAACACUGUUGAAAAACCAAAAUAGUAAGUUUUCACAAACUCGUGUUAUUAUGUAAUUUGUCGGAGGCAAAUGUUAACAUGUUCCCUCAGGACACUUGUCAGUGAUGUAAAUAUAGAAACUUUGUUUUGGAAUUGUGUAUUAAAUUUAUUCAAAAAGUUAAAAAACCGAUUUUAAGACCAAAUUUAUAUUUGUUGAUUCCUUAACAUGUACCCUAUUAUCAAAAGACCCUUUGUCAUACAUAAAUGUAUUUCAAGCAUUUUAUCUUAACCUGGAGUGUGAACUUCACCCAUGGAUUCCAUCAAAUAAAGUCUGUAAAAGUGAUUUUAUUACGAGUAAACAACCAUUUUGAGGUUUGAAAUUGCUAGCGCGACUGUCACAAAUUGGGACCUCAAAUUUACAAAACACCAAAAUGCUCCCUUGAAUUGUCGAACGUCAGUCAUAUUGCCCAUUCCGUCAAGUUGCUUUGUUGCAAAUGUUCAUGUGGCACGUUAACCGGCAUCCACAUUGACACACCACAAUGACUCUUAACGUGACACAUCAGCAACUGUAUAGAGAAGCAGCUUGAACAAUUUGACUGACAUUGGAAAAUUCAAGGGAGCAUUUUGGUAUUUCUUAAAUUUGAGGUCUCAGUUUGACACAUUAACAAUUUCAUGAUCAAUCCAAAAUGGUGGUUUACUCUUUUAUUACCCUACGUAAAAUACACACAAAUUCUACAAAGCAACCCCAUAUUCCUCAUCCAAACAUAAACCACUUUACCUUCAACUCACUCCUUCGAGUCAUUUUUAGCCAGAAUCAAUUUAACAAAACCAAUUCACUCAAAAUCAAUUUUUAUAACCACAUAACAAAGCAUACACAAAAGUGAUUUUAUAACCCUGUACAAAAUACACACAAAUUCUACAAAAACAACCCCCAUUUACCCAAUCCACAUUAACCAACACUAUUACACAAUUAAAAACUACCCAUUAUUCACAAUUCAUCCAAAAUCAAAACAAAAUCACAAAAACACAAUAAUUCAAUUAAAACACAUAUAAUGGCAAAUUAGUAAACCCUAACUGACCUCCUAUUAGAGUUAAGUGACGAAGCCGGUGCCUGGCCACCGCUGCCCCUUCCAUGACCACCUGAGGGACCUCUCUGCUGAUUAAAGCUAGACGAUCGCCCAGAUUUUCGAUAAAAGGCGUCGUUCUUUUCCGUUUUUGAUUGAUUGUAGGACAUAUAUACCAAUCCUGAAUAAUCCCUUAAAUCACAAGUUUUCACAAAAUUGAAAUUGAAAGAAGAAAAAAUGAAAUUUUUUCCUCUUUUCAAAAUUUCCCUGCAAACCCAAAAACGCAGAUCCAUUAAAACCGUUAAAAUCAUACACAAUUAUACCGUUUAUUUAAAACCCAAUUGAAAAAUUGUCACGAAAAUGAAUGAAAGUGAUGAAUUUGAUAAGAGAGUGAAGCAAGUACCUUAAAAGUUGAAAUUAGGGUUUUGUUGAAUGAAGGUGAUCACAGUACUCUGUGUGUGUGUGUGUGUGAGAGAGAGAGAGAGGGGGGGAGGGGAAGAAGAAGAAGAAGAGGGAGGGAGUGAAAGAGAAACCAGAAUUGGAAGAGAUUGUGGAGGAGAGAGAAAAUUGAAGAGAGAGAAAGUUGAAUAGGUAAGAAAGUGAGACAGACAAGAGAGGUUAAUGUGUGUGAAGAUUAAGGUUAAGGUUAAGGUUGGUCAAGGUGGUAGGUUUUUUAGGAGAGAUUGCGGUUCUUGUGACACCUAUUCACUUCAACACUUGAACACAUCAUCAUACAAAUUUUACUAUGUUUUUUUGAGCAUACCAUAAAAUAUUAUAAUUUUGUUUGUAUGAAACUACAUGAAUGAAUCCUUGUCUUUUGUUUUUGCUUUUGUUUUCCACGUGUUUAGUCCACUAAGAUAUGUUUGAUUAGACCAUCAGUGAUGACGAGGAUUAUUCAAAUUUAUUCUAUUUUUUUAUAAGACUUGAUGCAAAUAAAUAGUGGUUCAUUUUAGAACCCUAAUCAGAAGGUAUUGAGUUACUCAUGGAAACUUAAAUACAUAAUAAAAAAAGAAAUAAAAUAUGCUAAGAACAAAAGUUGAAGAUAUGUGAGACUCCUCCUUGAUGCUCCAGGUGUUUUACUUCCUCUUAUUUUUGCAUAAUUUAUAAGUUGUUUUCAUUAGCUAUCUUAUAAAACAUCUGAAAAUAAAAGUGAAAACAAUUUAUGGACAUGUUAUAAGAUGUUAUCAUAAGUUCUUCCAAAUAGUCUUACAAGUGUUUAUGUCGGUAUCUAAGCUCAAAUAAGUCAAUUCAAAUAGGCUCAAUGUAUUGUGUGUUGUUUCUCUUUACUAGGUGUUCAAUCCAUCAAGUUAAUCAUGUUUGAUUAUAUUAUCCUAUAUUAAAUCAAACGUAAUUAUAUCUUUUAAUCAAGACUCAAACCAUGAUUUAUCACGUUGUAAGAAUCCAGUUCUUUAUUCUUGACCUAAUUCACGACCUAAUCCAUGCUUCCAAAUCUUGUCACUUUUAUCUUAACUUUUAAUUUUAGUAAAAAUGGAGUGUGGUAUUCUUAACUUCCACCAUAAAGUAAGUAAUGUAUGAUCAAGAUUAUUUUUGAAAGGGUCUUGUUCAUUUGAGAGAUUGCAAAAAGGAUAGAAAUUAUGGUUUGUUCUUUGUGAGCUUGUUGAAGCUAAUUUCUUGUAACCCUUUUAUAUCUAUUUGUAAAUAACUCACUAAUAGUGAAUUGGAGAGAUCAAUCUCUCCCCAUAGUUAGGGGUGGUAAAAAAAUUUGUGCCCGCGGGUAUUCACGGAUAAAAUCCGUCAUGGCACGGGGCGGGUAGCUAAAUGGAUACCCGCAGGUAUAAUAAACGGGUAUUUAACUAUCCGUUACUUAAUGGACACAGACACGGAUUUGAUGAUACCCGUUCCCGCGGUAUCCGUACCCGUUAAUAUAUUAAGUAAAUUACUAAAAUACCCAUGCGUGUGUGUGUGUGUAUAUAUAUAUAUAUAUAAGAGUUUGGUGUCUAAGAGAAAGAAAAAAACCUAGUUUAUGUACGGUGCUCAAAAUUCUUUCUCUGUUCUUUUCUUUUUUUCUUUCUUCGUCUCCUUAGCAUGAUUACUUGUUUAUGAUUUUAGAAUUUAGGGCUUUCUAGUUUUAGAGGAAUAAACUAAUUUAAGGUUUAUUAUUUUGGCCGGUGUAUACAACUAAUGACUUUAAUCAUCUUUUUAAUUUUACUGAUGAAAUAUAGGAAGCAAUGUCUGCAACAUUUUUGUUAGAAUUAGUUGAUGCAGCUGCGAUUAUGUUUACAGUUUAAAUGUAGAAAUUAUUGUAUGUUGUAUUGGAUUGCAAGUACAUAUUAGUAGUAGUUAGCCGAUGAUGACAAAAUCAAAUUGGAAUUACCGUCGGAAUAAAGAGAAGAAAAAAGUAUAUAUUAGUUGGUAUUCUAUUAGGAUGUCUUUUAUACUGUGAUGUGAUGUGAUCACUUUUCUCUGGUAUCCAAUCCAAUUGUUUUAUACAAAUGAAGGAUAAAGUGACUUCUAUGUUUAAUUUUAGAAAAAACACGUUUCUUAAAAUAAAAAAAAAUCAUAUAUAUUCUACGGUCCUUUAAAUUAUAUGUUUAUAACAUAUUAGUUCUUUAAGUUUUUCUGUUACCAAUUGGUCUUUUAAGUUAUUUUUUGUUACAAAAUGGUCCUUUAAGUUAUAGAAUAUUACAAUGUCAUACAUCUUUUCGGCCAACUUCAUUAAAAAGUGCUUAUAAACCAUUUAACAUUACGAUGGUAGGUCCAAAUGUGCUUGUGACAUCAAACAAGAUUACCUAUACACAUUUUCUUUUUGUUUUUGUACAUGAAGCUUAAUUUUACCUAUAAAUAUUUGAUUAACAAUAUUAUAAAGGCUAAAGUGUACUUUUUCCCCCUUAACUUUUAAAAACUUGCAAUUUUGACCCUCUAAGUACAAAAACUACAAUUUCGGUCCCCUAAGAUUUAGCCCAUUUGCAUUUUUUGGUCCUUUUGGCCAAUUUUGAUUUAUUCAACGCCUACGUGGCAGGCCAUGUGUGUAAUAAAUUAAUUAAAAAAAUUAAAAAAAGAUUUACGUGAGGAAGAUCUGAGAGAGCAUCAACCAUGGCAACAUUGGUGAUAAUAGCAAGAAUCUUGUUCAUCUUGGAAAGUGCUCGAAGCUCUUUACGUGAGAGAGUGUGGAAAUCCAUUGCUGAGAUUUGAAAUCCCCUAGCAUCAACAUGAAGAAGUGUUUUGGGUUUUAUUUUUAUUUUUAUUUUAGAUUUUUUAAUUCUUUUUUUAAUUUAUUUAAUUUAAAAAUUGAUUUUUUGGUUUUUUAAUUUUUUUUAAAUUAAUUAAUUACACAUGUGGCCUACCACGUAGGCGUUGAAUAAGUCAAAAUUGACCAAAAGGACCAAAGAUGCAAAAUGGCUAAAUCUUAGGGGGCCAAAAUUGUAGUUUUUGUACUUAGGGGACCAAAAUUGCAAGUUUUUGAAAGUUAGAGGGGGAAAAAUGCACUUGCUUAUUAUGGUUUUUGAAAGUUAGAGGGGAAAAAGUGCACUUUAGCCUAUUAGAGGGACAAAAAUUAAUCGGUCAAUUUUGUUUUGAAUCAGGACCGAAUAGCACACAUAUGAGCUCUAGUUUUUAGAGCAAUGAAUUUGAACAAACAAACUUAACAUUAAACAUCCACAUAACACCUUUUGACCGAGUUUGAUGAAAUUAGGAUAAUAGUGCAAAUAUUUUAUGACUUAAAUGACCAAUUUAUAACAAAAAAAAAAAUUUAAAGGACUAACUUGCUAUAAUCGUGUAACUUAAAGGAUUACAAAUGAUAUUCGACCAAAAAAAUAAUAGAAAAAAUAAGUAAUUGUUAUUUCAGCUACAACAUUGCUUUGGUUUUUCUUUAAAUUGAUGAUUGUAGUGUUAAAAAAGACUUACGGUCACUUUAAAUUACUUAGGCUAAACUGUAUUUUUGCCCCCUAAGUUUUAAAAUGUUGUAUUUUUGAUCCCCUAUUAAAAAAAUGGCAAAAGUGACCCCAUGUUUAGGGAAAUAUGCUCUUUUGACCCCUAACAUAAGGAAAAUAUGAUCUUUUAACUUCUUAUCUUCUCAAAAAGUUGCGAGUAUGGCCUUGUUUUGGGACACGUGGCGUCUUCUCAACAAUUUUGAGACGAAAGGGGCCAAAAUUGUCUUUUUUUAAUAGGGGGCCAAAAUUACAACAUUUUAAAACUUAGGGAACGAAAAGUACAAUUUAGCCAAUUGCUUAUUAAUUUUCAUUAAAAGUGUUCAAAUCAAAAUCGAUUCAAAUUAAAACUGCAAAUUGGAUUGAUUUUUUAAAAUUAAACAAAAUCGAACUAAACCACACAAGUAUAAUUUAAAAUUAUUUUAAUGAAAAUUUUAUUUAUUUUAUUAUAUUGAUAUGAUAGAUUAUGUUAAUAUGUUAUUUGUUGAUUUUAAUAAAAGAAAAAACUUAAUACUACUUAUUAGUUUAGGUUAAUGUAUUUUCUUUUACUAUUUCACAUGUUUAUUUAUUUUUGGUAGAAUUAUUAUUUCACAUGUUUCAAACAUAAUCGAUCAUGGUCAUUUAAUAAUAUUAACUUUUAAUGAAUUAUAUGUUAUAUUUUUCAUCGAAGGUAUUAUUUUACCAUUUUUUAAUAGUAUCAUCAUUAAUAAAAAUAAUUAAAUUCUAUAAUUUGGAUAUCCAAAAUCCGAUCCAAAUUAAACAACAUUAAAUUAUAUCGUAUUUUUUAAAUUAGUCAUCUAAAAUUUAAUCGACCCACGUAUAAUUUUAUCUUUGAAUAAAUAAAAUUUUAUUCAAUCGUACCUUGUUUUAAAAAUAAAAAAAAAACAACAACGUACCUAACUUCAAUGGUGUCAAAAAUUACAACCAUCAACCCAUCAUUAUUUUUCAUAGUUAUUUCUCUUUUGAAAUUAUAGAAAGUUUGCCAAAUAUAAAGGUUUAUUGAUUGAAAUAUAAGCUACUAUAUAUGAUUGAUCCAGUGGUGAAGGGUUAUGGUAGCAUACAUGGUCUUAGAUUCAAACAUUAUUAGCUUCAUUGUACACAAAAAGAAAAGAUUGAAAAAUAAAGUAUAGAAGCAGAUAUGAAACGGAAUUUUUCAUAUAAACAAGGGAACAAUUUCUAUCAACAAAAAAAAACAAAGGCUAAAUUGUAUUUUUGGUCCCUUAACUAUUUAAGGAGCAUCGUUUUGAUCUCUUAAUUAAAAUUUGAUUAUUUUAGUCCCUUAACUUCUCUCUGUUACACAUUUUGGUCAUUUCCGUUAGUUUUAAUUCAAAAAUAUUAGAUUUCCUUCAUCUUCUUCUCCUCCUUUUCAUCUUCAUAUCAUCUCCUUCAACCUUCGACAACAAGAAUCCCAGAAAAAAAAACCUAACGUUUUUGAAUUAAAACUAAUGUAAAGGACCAAAAUGUGUAACAGAGAGAAGUUAAGGGACCAAAAUAAAUCGAAUUUUAAUUAAGGGACCAAAGCGAUACUACCUAAAUAGUUAAGGGACCAAAAAUACAAUUUAUCCAAAAACAAAUGGAGAGAGAAUAUGGGUCAAGUUGUAGGAGAGUGUAUGUGAAUUAGAGGGUUUGUGGAUUGAGGUGCUUGUUACUAAAUAUUGGUUUUCAAUGUGGCUGAGUUUUGGGAGAUGGUAUUAAGGUGUCUAGUCUUUUGAGAGUUGUCUGUAAUAGGAAGAAUAAUUUUUUGUUGUUGGAGAGAUUCAUGUUUGGAGAGGGUGUUUUGUGUUCUAGAUUUAAAAGAUUUUGAGUUAUAUGGUGAAAGAUGUGUUUCAUUUGCGGGUAUGUGUAAGUUAGGUUUGGAAGUUGAUGGUGGUGGUUGGAGGUGGCAGAGGAGAAAGUUGUUGAGUGUUGCUCUUUUUUGGAUAAUAUUUUUUAAUGGGUUAUGUAGAUGAUUAACGAGUAUGGAAACAUGAUACUAAUGAUAGCCAUUUUUUCAUAGGAGUUUACUAGUUGUUGACUCAAGUUGAGUGUCUUGCACCGUUGGAUCUAAAAGGAGAACUUUGAAUAAGGCAUUGUCAUGAAAAGUUUCUCUUUUUGCCAUUAAACGUGAUAAUUUGACGACUCGAGAUAUUUUAUUCUCUAAUUCUUUGGUUGCUCAUAUGAAUGUGGGAAAGAAGAAAGUAUUCAUCAUAUUUUUCUUUAGCUGCGAAUUUUUCGGUCAGAUGCAAACUUGUAUUUUUAAGUGGUUGAGUAUUUCUUGUGUUCUUCUGAAUAAUGUGUGUAUGUUUACUCUCCAAUUUUGUGGUUAUCGUUUGUUUAGUAAGGACAUUCAAAGUUGUUUUCAAGUAAUCUAGUUGUCUUGUAUUUGAGUUCUUUUGAAAUAUAGAAAUCCGUGGGUUUUUAGUAACAAAUAAUUGUCUCUUUUGCAAUUGCGCAACAAAAUUAAAUUCUUACCAAGAUGGCGGUUAAAGGCUAUGAAUCUGAAUUUGUCUUUUGAUUUGAACCUUUCGUGAACUAACCCUUGCUAGUAUUGAUUUUUCACCUCUUGAGUUUUCAGUUGGUUUUGCUAUAUUCUGUAUAUGUUUUAUUGUAUUUUUUUUUCAUUUUAGGUUGAAUGGCUUUUUAAUACAUUUAUUUGGAUCAUAAAAUAAUAUAAUUAUUUCUAGAACCUCUUUUUUUUUCAUAUAUUUUUCUGGUCAAAUGUUUUUACUAGUCUCUUAUAUUUUUAAUAAAAUAUCUUCCAUGUCUUGAUAAAAAAAACAUUAUAUCUUCCAUGUAAUUUUCUAUAUAAACCCCACACCACUCUUCACAAAUCAUCAUAGACUCAUAGUAACACUUAAUCUUCCUCUUUUUAAGCAUUAAUCUAGUCAAAAUGCAAGGGUUCCUCACUUUUAUUUUGAUUCUUAGUUUUAUUUUACCUUGUCUAUGUACGAGAUUAAAUGUUGGAACCACAAACGCUAUUUAUAAUGUGAUGCAAUAUGGUGCACAUGGUGAUGGCAAAACUGAUGAUUCACAAGUAUGUAUUUCUAUAAACUUUUUCUUAAAUUUUUUAAUUAAUAUCUAUACUUUUCAUGAUAAACUUUUCUCUUCUAUUAUUUAAUUUUUUAAUUUUGUAUCUUUAUGAGCAGUUUAUGGUUUGAUAGAUCAUGACUAAUUGGGUGUCCCUUUUUUAAUUGUAUGCAUGUGUUAAAUUGUAGGCAUUUAUUAAUGCAUUUAACAGUGCGUGUAAAGCAACUGGGAUGUCAACACUAGUUAUACCGGCAGGAAAAACAUUUAUGGUGUCGAAAGUAAUUUUUAGCGGUCGUUGUAACGCCAAAGUUCGUAUUCAGGUAUAUAUAUCUAACAUUUAACCUAAGAUAUAACACCUAUUAAUUGUAGUUUGGGAAUUUCCAUCAAGAAGUAUAUUAUUUAGAUGGAGUAGACUUAUAAUAUAUUAGAUAAAUUAUUAAAAAAAAAUAUUGUUUAAAAUGAAUAAUAUGAUAUUAAAAAAUAUUAAUAUUUUAUAUUGAAAGUAUUCGUAUGCAUUCUUAUUAAAAAAGGGUAUACAUAUAUUAUUGUUUUCUGAAAUUUUUCAUAUUGUGAAAAUAUAGUACAUAUAUGUUAAAGAUUUCUUAAAAAAAAAAAUAUAUAUGUUAAAGAUGUUAAUAUUUUUAAUAUAAACAAUAUUAAUUUUGUUCAAUAAAAUAAGAGAAUGAUUUUGAUGUAUUGUUUAAACUUUGUAUACAUUCAAUCAAUCUCAAAUCAUAUGUUAAAUUAAUUUUAAGAUAUUGAUUCAUUAUCUUUUAUGAGUAUUUUUGAAUUUAAGAUGAAAUCAAGUGUUCUUUUCGAAUAUUAUUAAUUAUUAAAGUUAAUUUUUAUUCUUCACAAUUAAAUUUUAAUUUUUUAUUAAAUUUAAUAGUUUUUUUAAGGAUAUUCAAUUUAAUAGUAAUUCACCGAUAGUAGUAUAAAAAGAGCAUAAAACUCAGCAACUAAACCCACGAAUGAACAUACUAUGAUCUCUAGAUUAUCAAGUGAUGAUCGUGAUUUCUGUCAAUUUUCUUACUAUUCUAUCUUUUUUCUAAACCUUUACCCUGAACGUUGUGUUGUAUCUUUUGUAAUUUUGUUUUGUCUCUUUUUGCACUCCUUAUGCUAGGGAGCAAAACUUUGAUUUGUUAAUAUAUAUCUCAUUUUGGCUUGUUCAAAAAAAAAUUUCUUACCAUUCUCGUGUAAGAUCUUCGAAAUAUAUAACAUAAUAAUAAAAAAAAUUGAUAGAUAAUUUUUUUUAUGUAGUGGUUUUGUGGUUAAACUUCCAUCUCUUAAACUGGAGUGAGGUGUCUAAUCACCGACUCUCCAUAUAUCAUGCAAUGUCCUUUUCAAUUGAGAUUACUGAAACAAUUAUUCACAUCUUUUAUUGAGUAAACUUCUACUUACGUUAUAUAUGUAUAUUAAUUACACGCACACUCACAUAUAAAUUCUUAUUUUUUUUAACAUGCAUUCUGAUUACGUUAUUUUUUUCUUAUUUAUUCAUAUAUUUAUAUAUUUUUUUUAUCAUUCUUUGAGGAGUAUUCUUUAAGUCAACAUUUGGAAUAGUAAAUUAUAUUCCGAUAACCUUAUUUAUAUUAUUAGAUCAUUUCUUUUAAGAAACUGGGAACGGAAGAAAUCAUAAUUAAUUAAAUGACAUAAUCACUAUUUAACAAUUGUAUCAAAUAUUAUUUAAACUUUGUCAAUUACGAUUAUAAAGUCAAUCUCUUAUAAUUAUACAUUUUUUAUAUCAACGUUAUAAUUAAUUUUUAAAAAGGUCAUGUGAGAUUUAUGACGAAUAAUGUGAUAUAUAAUUAAAUAGUUAUUUUUUGUACAUAUAUAAAUAAUUAGUUGAAAUAUAGAAAUUUCAAUUAAAUAUUCUCAACAUCUACGUUUAAAUACAAUAUAUGUUUUUUGAAAUGCAAAUAUUAGCGACAAUUUAAAUAAAUAAAUGAAGUAUAUUUAUUUAAAAUUUUUCCAUCUAUCUAUAUUGCAGCUUGAAGGGCAGAUAGUUGCACCCUCUAAGGCAAAUUCGAAAGCACAAUCAUAUUGGUUUACUAUUGAAUAUGUAAAUGGACUCACAAUUGAUGGUAAUGGUCAAGGAGGACUUGAUGGAGACGGUUCUACUUGGUGGGAAAGCGGUGGUGAAAGACCUGGGGUAUGUAUUAAAUAAUAUUUUGAAUUGAUUGUGACAUAUUUUUUUAACAUAACAUGAUGAUGGUAGGUACAGGCCUUGCUUUUUCAUUCUUGCAACGAUCUUAGUGUUAGUAACCUAAGGAUCACCAAUAGCCCGAGUUCUCAUGUAUCCAUUAAUAUGUGCAAUCGUACAACAUUCUCUCAUGUAUCCAUCAAUUCACCUGCUACUAGUCCCAACACUGAUGGGUUUGACAUUUCUUUUUCCACUGAUAUUCGUAUAGAAAAUUCCAACAUAAAAUCUGGUAAUUAAACUUUAUGUAAUAUUAUAAUAUUUUAAAUAUUUAGUAUGUCUUAAAAGAAAGUUUAUGUUAUUAUUUUAUAAAAGAGAGUCAAACAUAAAUUGUUAUAGAGAGAGAGAUAAUUAUCAUUAUCAUUGAAAUGAUUAAGUUUUGCGUAAAUUUAAUGAGUUUUAUUUUUUAAUUCUAAUAAGCAGGUGAUGAUUGCAUUGCUGUUAAUGGUGGCUCUAAUUUUAUCAAUGUUACCGGGGUUACCUGUGGACCCGGUCAUGGGAUAAGGUUUAUAAAAAUUGUCUAUAUCUAAAGUUUAAUUUCGUAUAUAUAUAUAUAUAUAUAUAUAUAUAUAUAUAUAUAUAUAUAUUAUUUCCACUUUAGCUUUUUUUUUUUUUUUUAUACCAAAUAUCUCUCUCUCUCUCUCUCCAUAUUUAUAUAUGCCAAUGAAAUUUGGAUUAUCUAUGACUUUCAAAACAUGACACUCGCUCUAAUUAGGAGAUCAAUCUUAUAUGAAUAUUAGGGCAUCUAACAUCCUAAAUUGAUAUUUUUAUAUCAUAGUUUUAACUUUGAAAAUAAAUUUUUUAUAGACAAAUAUUAAUUGUUAGUAGUAGUCAAAGUUGGACUGCUUGACUUCCUAAACUUCUUUGUGAUGCCAAAGUUUUAAAUUUAUAUUUAUAUUGCACAUGUAUUCAUUUCUUUUUCUUUCACAAAACUCAUAAAAAUGUAUAUCAUGAAUUAAUCAGUGUUGGCAGCCUUGGUAAAAAAAGAACUAAUGAUCAAGUUUCCGAUGUUCAUGUGAGAAAUUGCACAUUCAAGGAGACUCAAAAUGGAGCACGAAUCAAGACAGUUCCGGUGAGUAUAAUUGAUAAAGUUAAAUAUAUUUAUACUUCUUAUAAAAAUAUGGAUCUUUCAAGUUCCAUUCGUGCCACCUCUAAAAAAAACGUCGAUAUUAAUAUAUUAUUCAAUCUCAGUCCUUAUCUUUUACAUAAACAAUGUGAUUUAAAUAUCUCUACAUUAAAUAAAAACAUGCUAAUAUUUUUUAUAUACAAAAACACAAUAUUUUUGUUAAAUAUAGACCAAAAAAAUAUUAUUAUAAGUAGUUUAGGUAGUAUAUAAUAAUAUAAAGUUAUAAAUUAUUUCAUAUCGGUGAUGUCAAUAAUGACUCGUGGAAAAUAUAAAUAAUUCAAAAUUUUCAAUGUUACAGUGUUUUAUAGCUGCUAUUUGACAACACUUCUAGAUAUUGUAUCACAAAAUAAUAACGGUUUGUUUAAAUUCAGCUAUACUACAUCGAUGUUAUAGUUGUUAUUUGACAAUACUAAUCUAUAUACAUGAAUACAUUGGUGGCUACCACUUAUUGUUACACAGACAUAUACUUGGCAAAACAUGAAAAAUCGACGAAUACAUGACUGAAUGAAAGUUUUGUUAUUACGAACCAAUUGUAGGCAACUUUAGGCUAUUGUUACAGAAAAUAGUAUCAUAUACCAUAUCAUAGAUAUCUUGGUAUGGCUUACACUCAAUAUCAGUUUCAAGCUCAUCGUCAAUUUUUUUGCAGGGUGGAUCAGGUUAUGCAAGACAUAUUACAUAUGACCAAAUUAUCCUUGUUAAUGUUAAGAACUCCAUAAUUAUAGAUCAAUAUUACAAUGAUAUUAUUCCUCAGGUACAUAUUUCAUUCUACAUUAUUCAUAAUUAUUAUAUCUUUUGUGAUAUCAACAAUGUAGUAAUGUUGGUUUGUUUUAUAUAGUAUAGUUAUAUAUUGUGAAUUUUGUAAAUUAUUAGGCUGGAGAUGUGUCGGUGAGUGAUGUGACAUAUCGAGGAUUUACUGGAACUUCAGCUAACGACUUAGCUAUUCAGUUAAAUUGUGGCUCAUCUGGUUGAACCAACAUUCAAUUGGAUCAAAACAAAAUUGUCUCUGCUCAACCAGGAACAAAAACUUAUUCUCAGUGUAAAAAUGCUCAUGGAACCGCUACAAAUACUAUUCCAAGUGUCACUUGCUUAGUUAAGUAAUGUUUUAUUGACCUCCAUUACGCGGGGGAAAAAACUAUUUAAACAAUGUAUCAUUAAUAAACUUGCAAUGCAAUUCAAAAACUUAAGGCUAGGAGAAUAAUGAUUAAUGUUCUUAAUUGGUUUAUUCUAGAAGAGGUUGAAAUAUUCUAUCAAUUAGUUGUUAGAUGCGCCAUGUGUGGUUGAUCUAGCUAUCUUGCUAUGUGUAUGCAUUAGUUUUUAUGAACAUUAUUUAGCCUCGUGAUUGGAACCAAUGGAAAAUAGAUAAAUUUCUUCUUAUUUCAUCUAUGAUUUCUUUACCUAAAUUUUGAAGUUUAACCCUUCUUAAAUUGGAUGUACAACUUCUUCUCUUUGGUUGUAGGUUUCUUUUAAUUUGGACCGGUGAAAGUUGAGGUCCAACUUGGACCAGUUGAAAUCUGACCUUUGAUAUAAUAUUAAUUAAUAUAGACGAUUGUGAUAGACACUCAAGUACCUGAUGUAUAAGUUAAAUACUAUCCAAGCCUAGUGUAAGAGUGACCACACAGUAGCAAUUUUAUCAUUGGAAAAUACAAUUUUACCCCUUUUCAUUUCACUUAAGUUUUCCGGCAGUAAUCCAUAUCUUAUUAUUUUGAUUUUUCUUCCUACAACAACAACAAUUUUUCUCCCAAAUGCAACCAAUUUUCAAUCUCUGUUUAUCUUCUUCUUCUUCUUCUAAACUAUACACUCCAACAACAACAACCUCAAAUUUCAAAUAUUGAACAAGAAUAACAUCACAAAGUUCAUCUCAGAAACCCUUUUACUCUUCUCUUUUCAAUUCUCUUUCAUCUCCAAAAUCCACUUUUACACUAACAUAUCUAACAGAAAUAGAUUUCCAGAAAAUAAACAAGAAAACAAAAUCUACAUAAUCAAGAUUGGAAGAAGGAAGAUAUCGAGUGGAAAAAAAAUCAAAAUUAACAAAUAUUUUUGGAUGAAAUAUAGAAACUGAAUUAAAAAAAAAAAAAUUGAUCAAGUAGAGGUGACCGAAUAGAAAUUUGUGGGGAUGAGGGAUCAUCUUAGUCAUGUUCACUUGAUUUUUAAAUUUAUAAGCAUUUUUUGAUAGAUAGUUUAGAUCCACGAUUAUUCAUUUCUGUUUUUUAUAAGGUUUCCGAAAAACUAUUGCUCUAUAUGGGGAAGAAGUCGGGGUAGAAUUGGAAUUUUUAUGGUAUGUGAAGGUAAAAAUAUAAUAGAUCUGAAAUAAAUAAUAACUUUGUAAAUUUUUUGGGGGAAAAAGGUUAUUGCUGUGUAUUCCUUAAUAGAGUGUAUGAUAUGGGGAAACUUGAACACAACCUGUAAUAUCAGGUCAUUUAGCUGGUCCAAGUUGAACCAAAACAUAAGCUGAUCCAAUCUAAAGGGACCAAAACUAGGUAUUUACAUUUAUGCAAAAUAACAAAGUUGAUGUUUGACAAUAAUAUGUGAUGCUCUAACUACAAUAAAUCUCUUCAUUUUCACAUAGCACUAUAGUUUUUGUCAAGCUUUGAAUAUAACUGUUUCACAUGUGAUGAGAAUUUCGGUCAUCAUGUAACACAUUUUAAAAUUAAAGAACUGAACUGCACAUCACGUACAAUCGAGUUCAUGUAAAAUUAAUAUUUUCUUAUUUUUAAUUGCAACAUCAUAUUAUUGACCAUAUCAAUACAAUAUAUACAAGUGUUUGGAAUACAUCAUGUGUUUAAAUAUAUAAUCAGCCAACACUUGUUAAACUUCUACCAUGAACUUCCAAAGUUUUUAAUUGUAGUGACUCAUUUACUUUAUCUUCAAGAGACUACACAUUUAUAUGAUUCUAUAAAUAAAAAUAUCUAAUGUCCCCAUGUUUAGUUCCAUUUUCUUAUUAUUCCAUACACUAAGUUGCUCAAGUUCUUCACCACAGUCUUCCUACUCAUGGUGUCAAAUCUAGAAAAAACAAAUUCUUCGUUGACUCCUUAAUCCUCUCCAAGGAAACUCCCUCUUAAUCUUAACCACCUCCAUCCACACCUUGUUCGACAUCUUCAUAAAGGAUGAGUAGAAAAUAGGGAUCACAUUCAACAUUGAAUUAAUCAAAACAAUCAUACUCUCAAUUCUAAUGCAUUUGUUUCCCCCAAGAUCCUAUUGCUUCCAAAUAACGUCCAACAUUGGUGUCAUGAUGCAAGGAGUUUCUCGUAAUAAAUUUAAAACCUUUUCCGAUGGUUUGUGGAGUAAUUCUCAUUUCUCACCUUCAACAUGUGAACAAUACUUUGUGUAUUGUAGAGGCGACUAUAAUCCACGGGUUCUUAAAGAGGUUACGAGAGGCUUUAAGAUGACGUUGGAUCUAAAGGUUAACUUUUGGAAGAGUUGUUUGAAAGAAACUAUCGUGUAACAAAAUGUUAUUAUUAUGGCAGCUAGAUUUCUUAAUUCUCGACUUGGAACGACCCCGUUCAAGUAUCUUGAUUUGCCUAUGGGGGAUAAUCCAUGAAAAUUGUCAAUGUGACAACCAAUGUUGGAGUGUUUUUUGGAAGAGAACAUGAUCUUGGAAAAACAAAUACACUAGCCUUGGGGGUAGGAUUCUUUUGAUUAAUUUGGUGUUGAGUAUGGUCCCUACUUUCUACCUAUCUUUCAUGAAGAUGUGCCCAUGAAGGUAUGAAGGGAGGUGGUUAAGAUUCAGGAUGAGUUACUUUUUGGCGAACUAAGGAAUUCAAAGAACAUUUAUUGGGUGAAAUAGGAGGAUAUUACCAAAAUAAGUGAAGNNNNNNNNNNNNNNNNNNNNNNNNNNNNNNNNNNNNNNNNNNNNNNNNNNNNNNNNNNNNNNNNNNNNNNNNNNNNNNNNNNNNNNNNNNNNNNNNNNNNUUAUAUGAGAAACACAAACAAAUCAACCCUCUGGAGUUACACAAUAUCACGACAAAAUUAGAAACAAUUAAUCUGUCAUUGUAUUGUACAUAUGCUCGUACUGUGUUUUAGGGGUGUUUCCACAAGCUCAACAAAGUCUUGAAUUGGUAUGAUAAGUGAACCCUAAAGGAAGAUGAAGAUGAAGAAGUUUUUCAGAUUUUCUUUUAAUUUUACAAUUAACAAUUUGAUUUUGAUGUUUUGAUGCAUAAGUUUUACUAAAGAAUUUUGGAGAGAAUUGGAGGAAGAAAUCUGGAAUUUUGAUAAGCUAUAAGGAAUUUGUGCGAUGGGGAAGAUGGAAUGAAUUGGUUGUAUCCAAUUUAGAUGCAUAAGUUUUAAGAAUAAAAAAAAAUAACAAAAAUGUUUAAUUUUGAUUUAAUCAAGGACACAUUUGCGAUAAGUAAAAAUAUAGUGGUACACAAUAUGAACAAAUGUACAAUACACACUAUAAUUUGAUGUGACAUUCAUUAAAUACACAAAUGCAUUAUGAUUGGUCAUUCUAAUGACUUCACCAAAAAAGUCAUUCUAACAACUUCACCAUAGAAUUUUCCUAAAAUCUUUUCCUCCAAGUCCCCAAACCCCAAUCGCCCAAACGGACUCUCCGCUUCUCCGUUCAAUCGCUGCCAUCGCCAACUGUAAUCGCCGCUUUCAACACUUCCGUUCAACUCCUUCCCCAGGUUCUCUCUCUCUCUCUCUCUCUCACUUUUUCGAGUUCCUCUUCCAUAACCUAAUUGAAACCAUUCGAUGAAACCAAUUUAUGCAAGAGAUAUCUUUCUAAUUACCCAUUCACCUGUGUUAAUUAGUGUCUAUUAAUCUUUCUUUAUUAACAACGUCUUUGAUUAAUUUGUGAAGGAAUUUGAAUUUGAAGUAGAAGAAAGAUGGGUGAAAGGAAGGUUUUGAACAAGUAUUACCCACCGGAUUUCGAUCCGGCUAAGCUUCCUCGGGUAAGAAGGCCGGAGAAUCUGCAAAUCAAUGUUCGUAUGAUGCUUCCGAUGAGCAUUCGAUGCAAUACCUGCGGGAAUUACAUUUAUAAAGGAACCAAGUUCAACUCCAGAAAAGAAGAUGUUAUUGGGGAGGUAUAAUUAUUUUCUCAGAAAAUUUUGAACAUGUUCAAUUUUUGAUUUUUCGUGUUUUGUAUCUGUUUUUCAGUGUUAUUUGAUAUUGGAUUUAGGGAAGCUUGGUAAAGUUUGUUUGUGAUUUGUGUUUAGAUUCCAAUUUUACUUCAUCUGUAGUUUAGAAAUUGAUUUUGAUUAAAUUGAUUUUGUAGAAUUGAUUUUAAUCUAAAGUGGGUUGAAUGUGAAGUUAUUUAUGUUUGGAUAUAGUCAUGUAGAAGUAAAUUGAACAAUAAACUUGAGUGUAAAUAUCACUUUUGCUUUCAAAAGCUACACAUCCUAGCUUCAAGUUAGAAUCAAUUUUAGAGGCAAAAUCAGUUUCAGUCACAUCACUCAAACAUGUCUAAAUCAGUGUUAUCAAAUUCGAAUCACUUUUGGCUCUCCCUACUGUGAAACCAAACAUGCACUAAGUGCCACGUUUAAACUAUUUGUUUGUCUCAUAUUAUUUGCCAUUCUAGAUUACCAAUGAAGUACUAGCGUGUAUACCCGUGCGGGGCACGGGGAAAAUUGUUUUUUGAAUGAAAUUUAAAAUAAGAUAUUUUAUAAGACAUAUCUAAAAUCAUUAUAAUUUUGACGUAAAGUUUUAAGAAUAUACUAAAAUUAACAGAUAUGUAGAAUGCAGAAGAUUGUAGAUUUAUGUAAGUGUGUGAUCAACAAAGUAUUGAUAUUGGUUUAGAAGAAGAGUUUGAUUAGUUAAAGUUGGAGGAAUCAAGCUUGAGCAGUUGAGAUUGAGGUUAUGAAAUUAAUACAUACACAUUUAUACCAGACAUCAAUCCUUAAAAGCAAUUUUUUAAGUUAUAUAAAAAAUUACAAUAUAAAAACAAAACAAUAUAAAACAACAGCUUUGAAAUGAAGAAAAAAACUGAGGGGCAUAAGUUAUAAGUUAGAAUUACAAAUAAAGCAAGGCUCUGCUGCACAUUAAAAUAAAACCCAAUAAGAACAAAAAGCUGCAGAGUAUAUAACAACAUAAGUCAAAACAAAUAAACUAAUAGAUUUAAAAUACAUGCAUGAAGCAACCAUUGUGAUUCAAGAAAGUACACUUCGGUAGUUUAAUCCAACCAUAGUAGAGAAAAAAAGUUUCUCAACACCUUAGCACACCCAUAAAAAAACAGAGGAUCACAAAAUAUUAGAAGUGAAGGACGCAGAGAAGAAUUGGGGAAAACACAUACAUUGAAGGAAUGAGUCCUUCCAAAGUACAGUAAGAAAAGCCUGCUCAAUAGUGACAGAAUCGUUAACAGGAAGAAAAUAUAAAAAGGUUUCAUUAAAAGAAAUAAGUCAAAAGCAUUGAAGAAAAUACCUUUUGUUACAGAUUGCUACAAAGUCCAGUAAGAUGCUCAAUAUCAAAAGAACAGGGAAUUCCACCUAAAAAGAUAGAUUAAGAAACCCAUCAAUCCAAGCUUAUAAAAUUUAUAGUAAAUGACAAAAUUAGAAGUAUUACAUUUUUAAUAUGUGAUCAACCAACAAAUAUAUAUAAGUAUCGAACCUUACAAACAUUAUUUAAAACUAAAACCAGCAAAAUAAGCUAAUUAAAAUAUAUACCACACCAAUUUCUCAACUAAACAAAUGAAUUUAUCAAAUUGAACUUGACAUAUAAUUCAUAGAUAAACAAAAAGAAGAUUAAGAUGGAGUUGAAAUCAUCACACACUCACAUAAGACAUAUAAUUUACAUAAAUUACGAAUAAAAAAGCAAAACCCGAAAGGACAAAAAUUGCAUACCAUAAACUUAUACAUUUGAUGAAAUAUAUCAACACCUUUGUUACAAAGGGAUCUUUCUUGAUUUCCUGGAGUUGACAAAAAAAGAGAAAAAUAGAGGAAAAGCCACAUAGAAAAACAAAAAUAGAAUAGAGUUUAAAUUAAAGUGAAUAACAAAAGGUGUAGAAGAACAGGCCUCAAUCAUGCAUCACGUUGUAGCUGUAUAUUUUUCUGUAAGAAUGUACAACAAUACAAACAAAAGCUAGAAAAACACCCCUGAAUAAUUAUCGAAUUAAAGGAAUGAGACACCCCUGAAUAAUUUUAAUUGCAACAGCUGAAGAAAACACAGGAAGAUGCAACAAAGUGAGAAAGAGAAAGAAGAGGAAGAUAAAUUGACGAUUAUCUAGAGAAUGGGGAUACAUAAAGCCCCUUUUAAUUUAGAGUUCCAAUUCCAUUCCUUUUCUCGAUGUCUUUUAGCAUUGAUGGGAAUUGAGGAUUGGGAUGGGAGGAGAGGAACAGAAGCGGUGAGGGCGGUUUUGCAAAGGAAUACACGUUGUUAACAUUGAAAACACGCAUGUGUGAUUAUGUUUGUAUCGAAAGAAAAGUUCAAAAAUACCAUUAAAAAUUUCUAAUUAACAAAUAAAAUAAAUUAAAAAACAAUUAAAAGAUAAUUAAGGAAAUCAUACUACUUAUAGCAAUUUUAAAAGAAGUAAGCAUUCUUAGAAGAUGACAAAUGGCAAACUUGCCAAAAUACUAAGUUUGCUUUAUUAUUAUCUAUAGAUUACUUAAUUACUUGUUUCAAUUAUCAUAUCCUUAUUUAUUGCAACUCAACUCACCUAACUACUCCUUUGACUAUUACUUAACUACUCCUGUGCAUAAUGGAUGGAGUAUGAUUUUCUGAGUUUCUUGUUGCUUUAUAUGUGAUUUGGUUUUGAUUAUGAUAUUGAGUUUGAGUUUAUCUUGUUUGAUAUUUUUUGUGCAGACAUAUCUGGGAAUUCAAAUUUUCAGAUUCUAUUUCAAAUGCACCCGGUGUUCGGCUGAACUUACCAUGAAGACUGAUCCGCAGAAUUCAGAUUAUGUUGUUGAGUCUGGUGCUACCAGAAAUUUUGAACCUUGGCGUGCAGAGGAUGAGGAAACUGAUGAAAUGAAAAAGAAGAGGGAAGCCGAAGAAAUGGGAGAUGCAAUGAAGUCGUUAGAGAAUAGAACCCUGGAUUCCAAAAGAGAGAUGGACAUCCUUGCUGCACUGGAUGAGAUGAAGUCAAUGAAGGUAUAAUCAUUGUUGUAUCUUUAAUGCAUCUUGCAACAUGUUUGAUUAGAUAGUUGUGCAUAAAUGAUUCUCUAUGGAUCUUUAUAUUAUAAUUUUAGAAUAUAGUGCUGCCUAAAAUAUAUGACAUGCUUUUUCUGGGAUCAUUUAUUCUUAUUAUAAUUAACUCUGUUCAUAUAUCUGAAGUCUGUCCAUUGUACUAAUAUCUGAUGAGAAUCUCUUUUGUUUUCCAGUCUAGGCAUGCAACUGUCAGUGUUGCUGAAAUGCUUGUGGCGUUGCAACGUACAGCAGCGGACAAGGUAUGAUAAAGCUUGCUAUAUAAUAGUAUUUUCUGUGUGAGAAGAUUCCUGUUUGAAGGAAGGGAUUGUUACGCAUUACAAAAGAGGCAUAAAUAUCAGUUGAAUUUUUUGAAAUUUGUUUGACAUCUAGUUUAGUUGUUACUAUGAAGCACAUUCAAACACAUGGACACUAGAUGACUAGACUCAACUAUUGACACGACAAUUAUGAUUAUCUCCUCUUACCUACUCACUUUUUUUUUCUCUUCUUGAAUGGCAUAUAGUAUGUUAAUUGUGAUGUUUAAUAUUUCUUCCAUUACCAGAAUUCGAACCCUGGAACUUUACCUCCUUAAAUCCGUAAGCUCAACCAAGUGAACUACCCAUCUCUCCCCUCCCCCUCCCCCUCUUAGGCUUUGUUUGCGAGUUUGGAGGGGAAGGGAAGGAAAGGCUUUGGGGGGACAAAAUUAUAGAGGAAAAUUGAGAAAUCUUUCACAUUUUUUGAAAGAGUAUUUUUUUAGAGAGUGAUAAAUUAAUACAUAUCAUUAAUAUAUGUUUAAUUUUAAAAAUAUUAUAACAACAUAUAUUAAAUUUGAAGAAUUCAUAUAAACCCUCUUAAACCCCCCAAAACCCUCCUCCAAUACAAUUUUUAAGUUCCCCCAAAUGAGGAGGGUUUUAUAUUUUGAAGAAAAAUAAGCCCUCCAAAGCCCCUCUUCCCAAUGUCCUCUAUUUCUUCCACUUACUCCUUCCUAUUUUUCCAAGCCUUUCCUUUCCUUCCCCUCCAAACUCGCAAACAAAGCCUUAGGCUUUGUUUGGGAGUUUGGAAGGGACAGGAAGGAAGGGCUUUGGGAAUAUAUAAAGGGAAAUAGAUAAAUCUUUCGCAUUUUUUUGAAAGAUUAUUUAUUUAGAGAAUGAUAAACCAAUGCUUAUGAUUCAUAUAUAUUUAAUAUUAAGAAUACUAUAACAUCAUAGAUAGAUUAAAUUUGAAGAAUUCAUAUAAACCCUCUUCCAAAUUCCAAUACAACUAUUUAGUUCCUCCAAAUGAGGAGGGUUUUGUAUCAUGAAGAAAAAUUACCCCUCCCCCCCCCAAAGCCCUCCUCUCCGAAUGUCCUCAAUUUCUUCCACUUGCUCCUUCCUUUUUUCCAAACCCCUCCCCUCCAAACUCGCAAACAAAACCUUACUCACUUGAUAUGCUAAAUGUCAAUAUGGGCGGGGAACAUGAUCAACAGGAGAGUAUCAAAAUCUUCUAACUAGAGCUGGAGAAUUUCUUUUAACAUUUGGUAUAAUCUUGUAAUGCAAUGUUGACAUUCAAAACUUAAUUAAAUUCGAGAUUAGAGAGAGUGAGAGCUGAGAGGACAUAGAAGAGAAAGAGCACUUCCGUCAUUCUUAACUGAAUCAAUAACAGAGAGCAAACAUGAAAAGCCUCUUUCCAACUUCCAAGGGUGUCCCUCUUGUAUUUUCUCUAUCAUAACAGAGCCCUUGCUCUGUUUUCAAUAUUAACAAAUCUCAAAACCUCACUUCUACCCUUUCAUAGAGUCCUACUAUUUAUAGUAUAUAUCCUUUGUUAAACGACUUAUAACUAUCCAACCACUCCACUUUAACAAUUAUAACUAACUAUUCUUUGGCUCCUUUGAGCUUCUGUAAGAGAAAACUUGGCCCUUGAUGGGAACUUAAGGUUGCAAACUCUAACUUAUGCCUUUUAAUUGAUAAACCUGAACUUCAGCAGUUUAAGACAACCACAAUAAAAAUUCGAGUUGUGGGCUAUGACAUAAAUCGCGCAUGUAGUUCUAUUUCUAUGGCAUUCUUUAUUUCUUACUUUUCCAUUCCCCUCUUGAUAUUUUGAGUAAAGCUCUGUUAUUUUAUGUUCGUAGGAGAAAAGAAUUGAAGAAGAAGAUGAAGCACUGAUAAAAUCAAUUUUCUCGAAUGUGAGUAUUUCUGUCCUAUACUUCCAGUUACCCUUUUUAUUUUAACCACUUCCAACGUCAGUUUAUUCUCUUGAAAUUAAUCUAUAUGGUUUGUUUUGUACUAUCUUAAACAGAAGUCAGAAGUUCCUAUCAGCAGAAUUCGUGAUGAAGAUAUUGAAGACGAAGAGGAAUUGUUUCAGUUUUCAAAUGGACAUGGUGAAACAUCCAAUGAUAAUCCAAAGGUACCAAAAUGUCAAGUAGUAAUUGUCUAAUAGAUUUUCUUUACUGUCUUUGCCGUCCUAAUAAAUUAUUGCAGUAUAAUUGUUAAGAACCUCGCUUCUAAUAAUUUUCAUACCACCCUCUUAUUCUCAACUGUUGAAAUCUCUUCCCUCAUAUCAACAUUGAUUUCUGAAUCCAGAGGUGGUUUCUCUGUAUUAUCCGGUCUAAUAUCCUCCCGCAGAUCAUAACAAUUUUUCAUUUGUUGCUUUAAAUUGGAUCUACAACAAUGAACAACAAAACAAACAGUUCACAUAAAUGAAUGUCAUCACAACAAAUUAACAAUACACAACUGUAUGAUAUACAAAUAAAUACCCAAACUGUAUAUCUACAUUCUCAUCAACAUAUUUGCUGGUAAAAUCCAACUCGAUACGUUUGAGGAAAGCGGUUGGAAUCUUAUCUCCAGACUUCUUGACAGCAACCACACAAAAAACUAAAAAAAAAAAAAAAAAAAAAAUUCAAGUCAAUUCCAAACUUGCGAUGAUCGAUAGAAAAAAGGAAAAACAAACAAGUUUUUAUUUUGAGUAAUAAAAAACAAACAGUUAUUAACAAAAAAAAAAAAUAGAAACAUAAACGAAAGGAAGAGUUCACUACUGUAUUCGCUGCCAACAAGGUAAUGGAACCCAAGUCCACCAUUUUCGUAACUGAAUUUUUUCUUCGAACCAAAAGGAAAAAAUUUAUCCCAGAUAGGAAGUUCGUGGACCAUACGCUUUGCUAUUCCACUAAAAUCACCAACGGAAUUGGCAUACUCAGCGAUGAUGCGUGGGUUGCGGCGGAUAGUUCUGUUGGGGUUGUGAUCUACGUCGCGUCUGGGAACUAUGAAGCUGUACAUCAAUGAUUGUUUUAGUGUCAUGGUCGGUUUCGGUUUGAGAGAGAAAAAGUGGUGAAGAAGGAAUAAGUAGAAUUUAAAUUUAAAAAGACUAAAACUUCCGUUGAUAUACCAUGAAGUUUGAAUUUACCAUGAAAUUUUAGUCUUUUUUUGUGUUGUUGCUGUCAAGAAGUCUGCAGAUAAGAUACCAACCUCUUUCCUCCAACGUAUCGAGUUGGCUUUUACCAACAAAUAUGUUGAUGAGAAUGUAGAUAUACAGUUUGGGUAUUUAUUUGCAUAUCAUACAGCUGUGUAUUGCUAAUUUUUUGUGAUGACAUUCAUUUAUGUGAACUAUUUGUUUUGUUGUUCAUCGUUGUAGAUCCAACUUAAAGCAACAAAUGAAAAAUUGUUAUGAUCAGCGGGAGGAUAUUAGACAGGAUAAUACAGUGAAACCACCUCUGGAUUCAGAAAACAAUGCUGAUAUGAGGGAAGAGAUUAUGAGGAUAUUAGACAGGAUAAUCCAGGAGCUUAAAUCUUCAGCCUUUGUUAUGACAUUUGAACUAAGUCUGAUCUAACAUUUUCGUCAACUAUCCCGGAAGUCGUUUCUUGACUUUCUUUUUCUGAACCAGAUAUUAUUCUCUGCAAAUUUGAUUUCACUAUUUGUUCAGAACUUUUGAAUGACAUGCUUUACUACAUUUGGAAGAUGUUUAUAUUUUGUUUUAGUUAUAUUAACUGCACUCUUGAAACUUGAAGUUCUUUUGGAUUUACAAAAAUUAGCAUUUAUUACAAAGAUGCCUAAUUUCUCAUUUCCAUAGGAUGUUGAAAUCAUAUGAUAACUGUUUAAACUUUGUUUGUUUAUAUCUUCCUGCAGAGGCAAAAAAUUUCCGAAGAUCUUCCUCGAAAAGCAACUGACACCUUGACAAAAGCCAGUUUGGAUGAUUCUGACAAACAAGGUAUAUGCCAUUUCUUAACAUGUUUUUAAGCAAAGCAAUUAGAUACAUCAAACUUUAUUAAUGCACACAGUAAUUAGUCAUAUCAUCACUGCAAGUGUAUUUUAUAUUGUAAAUGAAGUAACAUUGAGGAGAGGCUGCAAAUCAAUUUGAGAGACUAUCUUCAGCUGUAUAGCAUAUCUAUUGUUCAUCUUCAAUAUCUCAAAUUCCGAGUCGCACACUUACAAUGAAGUAGUAUUAAUCAAAGAAAUUUAUCCACAUUAACCAUCUGUUUGACUUGCCAUUGACUCUAGUUUUAAUCAAAAGAGACGUAUCCACAUUAACCAUCUGUUUUUUUAUUAACCAUCUGUUUGCCCACCAUUCACAUCUGCACUGUUUCAUUUUUAAUUGGACUCUACCAGAAUAGUCUAACUUUCUAUUUUUGGUGGAUGGGGGUUUUUAUGAUACCAUCGACAAUAUGAGAAUCUAACACAUUAUGCCAUCUGUUAUUUAUGCAGAAAAAUUGACCGCCGGUCGUCGAAAGUCUAAUCCCUUGGUGACGAUUGCUGUUAUUAAGAAACCAGGGAUCUCUAAUGUUAGAAGUGCUGAAGAAGACAAACAAAAGAAAAAAGAGGAAGAUAAUAAAACAAAUACUACUUGGGGGACUACUAUCUCUGUGUCAAAGCUAUGGAAGUAGUGACGAGGAAUAGUUUUCAUAAACAGUUGGGAUGACUAUGUAUUCAACAGUUGCUUCCAAUGGAUUGUAUAUUGUGAUUCAGAACAUAGAUUCUUAGUUUUCAAGUUUUUGCAAAUUUCAUGUUGUCAUAUUGUUCAAGAUUAAUGGAGAAAAUGAAGAAAAGGAAUUUGACUCAAUUCUUGUUUUCCCUUUUUGUUUUUUAAUGUUGGGUUACUCCUGUCUUGUUCUUCAACCUCUAUUGAAUUUUGUUGGAAAUUUUAUUGUGAUGUUAUCGCUCGAGAUUCAAACUGUAGAUCUCAGUGUUGUAAUCAAUAGUGUUGAAAAGUCUGAAUUAAAUUGAGUAGACUUGGGACUUACGAGUGUACUCUUGUCUAGGUCUCAAGUUUGAAUCCUUGAGAUGUCAACAAUUUUUAUGCGGGGCCAGUGCCCCUAACUUCAGUUUCUCCUCCACUAAUGGACCGUGAGAUUGUUCGGUUUCUAAUUGUUUUUGAGUUUAAGCCUGGAUAUGCUUUUAAAGAAAUACUAGAGAUAACAAUAAUUAAAGAAUUUAGAACUUAAAGUGCAUUAUACAACAUUUUGUAUAUCCAAAUAUUGAUUUCACAAAAAUUUAUCACUCAGUUUACUCACCUUUAAUACUUAUUCUUGUAUUGUAGUAUGUGAUCAUUGUUAACUGAACUAAAGGGGCCAAGCCCCUAGAACAAGAAAACUACAAGGUCUUAUACAAAAGGAGUUGUACAAGUUUACACAUGUUAAGAAAUUCAAAAUAAUAAAUUUGUAUCGAAAUUUAUGUAUUUUAUAUUAAAUAUUUAACUUUUUAAUAAAUAAUUGUUACUUUUUAAUAAAGAAAUUUCUACUUUUAGUUGUUUCAACGUGUGCAAUAUUGUACAUGUUUGCCAAAUCCAUUUUUAAAAAGACUUUAGAAAUAAAAGGUGGAUGUAAUAAUCACAAUCCUGAUUUAUUCAUCUUGGUGUUAUCGGUAUGUGAUUUAUUCAUCUUGGAAUUAGGAAGCAUAUCUUAAACUUGACAAGUCAAAAUAAGAAGUUAGGCUAUUACUUUAAGAAUCUACCACUUUCACCUUUCUGAGUAUUAUUAUAUUCAUAAUUUCAUCAAUCAAUAUAAAGUAAUUUCAAAGAGCUAUUGGCUAGAUCCUCUACAGCCUUACAACUCAAAUCCAAUUAAAUGUCAGUCAUUGGAUUAAUCUAAUGGGCUUAGCAAUUGGAUCAAUCCAACCACCAAUAUCAGACCAAUCCUAUCCAACCUGGAGGAAUAACAUAUGACUCACCCACAAUACUACACAUAUUGAAGUGAACAAAAAACUAUGUAAAUGUUUUAUGUAAAUGUUGUUAUAGAUAUUUCUCCAAAGGAAUGAAGAUAGAAAAUUUGCUUAAGAACCCUUCAUCUCAGUUGGAAAAGGGAAAAAUAUUACAUAAACCAUCUUUCAAAAGUUCACAUCACUAGCUUGCACUGAUCAUGCAAUAGUAACAUAAUAAUACACUCUUAAUGGCCAUUAUAAUACAACAGAAACAACUAAACAAGAUACCAAAAAGAAGCAUGCACAACAAUAAGCAACUGUUUUUUCACAGCUUCUGCUACCACCUAAACAUGGCCAUAGCUCAUUGGAAUUACAGCGAGUUUGACAAAAUUACGGUGACGUGAAUUUAUCGAGGCUCCAAAGUAUUACUUUUGACAGAAUCACGUGACCGUGAU
RNAcentral lists this long non-coding RNA (57740 nucleotides) under Medicago truncatula (barrel medic). RNAcentral describes it as "long non-coding RNA (MTRU_LNC005815)". The record is from RNAcentral. Lineage: Eukaryota; Viridiplantae; Streptophyta; Magnoliopsida; Fabales; Fabaceae.